GGAACUGCUCGACUUCGGGGGCGACUUCGGCUUCGGAGGACAGGAGCUCGGCUACAGCUUCUUCUUCUGGCGCCGGGUGAAGCUCGUAGAAACCGUCGGCGAGGUGCAGCUCUACACGAAUGCAAUGCAAGGGUUAGCAUAGACGGUUAUUUCAACAGCAACACUGGCUCGCCUGAGCCCAGAAACUUGCGACAAAGAGCAGGAGGUUAUGGUGGUUUGAGAGAGCUGAUGAUGAUCAAGAGGUAAGGGUAGGAAAGAAAUUAGUGGUCUGAUCCUUGAACUAGAGGAUGUGAUAAACUGGGGGUCCUUAGACGUAGCGCUAAAGGGUUCCCAAGUUUUAUACAUACACCCUCGAGUUGAAGAAAAAGAUCACAGCCAAGCCCUCGGGCGAGGCGGAUAAGGGUCGGCGGAACAGACAGGGUCGGGCGAGACGGAACCGGGGUCGGGCGGAUAGGAGGGGUCGGGCGAGGCGGACUGGGGUCGGCAACUCACCUUCUUCCUGAAAGGAAAGCUUGGGGUCUGAAAGAAGCGAACUUGGGCGGAGGGACUAAGGUUUGAACAGAAGCUAAGACUGGCAAUGCUCCGGCGGCGGCGCUGCUUCUUGCGGAUCACAAGUGAGCUUUUACGCAGCACGGAGGAGCAAGCUGCUGGGUGACUUGGAGAAAACUGAGAGAGAACUGAGAGAAGAACUCCUCAAGAACUGGGUGGGUGGUGCUAGGAGCUUGAGCAGGGAGCUAGAGAAGGCUGAAGGCAACAAGGGCGGAGGGAACUCCGGCGACGGGGGCAUUCCUUUUAUAGCUGCUGGAGCAGAGGAAAGGAAACGGCGCGGAGAGAGAGAAGGGGAGCAGCGCGAAGGCCGGGGAGAGGCAAUGGAGUGCUCUGCCGGGGCGGCGAUUGAGCAAAGGGGGCGGUGGUGCAGAACUCCGGGGGUGACGCCAGCGAUCAUUGCGUUCUGCCGUCAGGGCGGCGUAGGAGCGGGUAGACUGGUGGUUGAGAUUUGGCGGAAAGCGGGCGUCGCCGUGCGGAAGAGGUGAUAGAAGCGACCGGUUUAACGGCGCUAGAAUCGAGGGUGCACAGGUGAGAAGACAGGCGGACGUGGGCGCGGGGGAGAGCGCGGAACAACAGAUUGUCGGGCGACUUCUGACAGAGCGGGGGAAAGGAACUGUCGCGGCCGCGGUCGGGGUUGGCGGGGGAGGAAUCGUCGUGUAGCGGCGACCAGGCGGCGCGACUGUGGCUGAAGGGACGGAAAAGACGGGCGACAUCGGGCUCUGGGGCCGGGAUCUGGUGGCGUGAUGAUGGGCGCGGGAGGCGAGGCUCUGCAGAAAGGGGUGCAGAGGGCUUCCGCUGCCAUUGGGGAAAGGGGGCGCGGGAACCCACUCGGUCGCUGGCCAGAGACAAAACUGAGCGGCAGGCGUCGGAGAAGACGAGCCACGCGGCAGGAAGACUCUGAAGCAGCCAUGCAACUCGAGUGCGGCUGUCGCGGGGGAUCUGGAAAAGAUCUCACGGGUCCACCGGUGGAUAGAUCGGUCGGUUGAGGAAGAUUAGCAGAAUCCGAUGGUGGGCGGAGCUCGCCGGGGUCGGGAGAGGAACGAAGCGGGAAGGGGUCGGAUCUCAGGGGUCAGGACCAGGCGGAUAGCUGAGCACUUAGGCGCGGUCAAGCAAGACAGAUAACUAGGAUCAAGGGCUCUGAUCAAGACUAACUCGGGAAGGUUUAGGGGUCGGUCAUUACAUAUGCGGAGCACACCAAUCGGCCCAUAAGAUGAAAUGGAUGAUCAGGAAUAAUGGGUACUACUGGCCAACGAUCCUCGAAGACUGUUUCAAAUAUUAUAAGGGUUGUCAGGAUUGUCAAAAGUUUGGAAAUGUCCAGCAUGCACCCGCAUCAGCCAUGAAUCCCAUCAUCAAGCCAUGGCCGUUCAGGGGAUGGGGAAUAGACCUUAUCGGCCAAAUUUACCCACCAUCAAGCAAAGGGCACAAAUUUAUUCUGGUGGCUACUGAUUACUUUACCAAAUGGGUAGAGGCAAUCCCGUUGAGAGCCGUGACAUCGGCUAUCAUGCCCGACUUUGUGAGGGACCACAUCGUCUACCGAUUCGGCAUCCCUCAGACUAUAACAACCGAUCAAGGAACAAUGUUCACAUUAGGGGAAUUUGAGGAAUUCACGACCGAUAUGGGAAUCAAAUUGUUAAAUUCUUCUCCGUAUUACGCCCAAGCCAAUGGUCAGGCAGAAUCCUCCAACAAAGGGAUAAUCAAGUUGAUUAAAAGGAAAAUCGAGGAACAGCCAAAGAAGUGGCAUCUAUGUUUGACUGAGGCCCUAUGGGCGUACAGGAUGGCUUGUCAUGGGGCUACCAAGUUGUCUCCCUACCAGUUGGUGUACGGUCACGAUGCAGUACUACCGUGGGAAUCAAGGGCGGGAUCGAGGCGUAUUUCGCUCCAGGAUCAGUUAUCGGUCGAUGACUACUCAUCACUUAUGAAAAGGGAACUUGACGAUUUGGCUGGCCAACGAUUGAGGGCUCUGAUAAGUAUUGAAGAAAACAAAAAGAAAGUAGCCAGGUGGUACGAUAAGAAGGUCAAAGUUAAACAAUUCUCCCCUGGGGACUUAGUAUGGAAGUUAGUAUUGCCGAUUGGGUCGAAGGAUCCUAAAUUCGGAAAGUGGUCCCCUACAUGGGAAGGGCCGUACAAAAUCGGCAGAUGCGCCCUAGGAAAUGCUUACAUUUUGGAAACAAUAGAAGGAGAGGAAUUUACUAGAGCUCUGAACGGAAGGUACUUAAAAAGAUACUACCCCAGUAUAUGGGUCGGAGCGUAGGAAAUUAACCGUGACACGACCACACAUAGCCGAUACAAAUCGGUUCAAACACAUAGCCGAUACAAAUCGGUUCAAACACAUAGUCGACUAGAUCGGCCGAUUGCAUUCAUUCGGUACGGGCGAUGGGUUACAUGGCCGAUAAAACAUUAGUCGCCCUUAGAACAAAAAAUACAAAAAACGAAUUAUUCUUCUUGGGCGCCUUCCCGUUCCGCUCUAACUCGCUCAUGACGCGGAGGUAUUCUUCCUCUAUCGCCUUUAUUGAAGUCUCCGCUUCAACUUGACGAGGGAGAAAAUGACUCCGACCCAUGGGAGGGCGUGAAGUUCCUGCCACCGCGUCUUCAAGAACGACUCGCCGAGGAAGCGGAUGGCUCCUGUCGGUGGGAGGGCGCCGGCUGCCGUUGCUCUCCAUAAAGUCCAAGAUCGUACAGGCCGUCGUGGCGACAUCGUCUUCAAGGUCAUUGCAAUGAUGGCCCCUGACAGUUGGAGAUCGUCGGCUACUUUCACUCACUACGAAAUCCAAGACCACAUGAGCCUCCGCAGUAAUGUGGUCCCGAAGUUCCUCUUGAUGAGCCAUGAUCAGUGCCUUGUCCUCCGACGUCAAUGGGUCCUCGGAGUGAAUGAGCUCAAUGGCGCGCACGAGCUCAGGGCUAAGACGUUGAGGCUGAAACAAAGAAGGAAUAAGAAGGGACAUUUUCUUCCUAGGAUCUAAAAAAGAAGGGGAGGUAGAGGUCAAGAUUUCACCUGGUUAACAGAGGAAGAAGAAGCCGACGAAGCCAUGACAAAAAGUAGCACCGAUGAGAGGAAGGAGAAAGUAAAACCGAAAGCCAAAUUGGUACUAUCGGGAGUAAGUGCUGAAGUCGGUAUUUAUGGAAAAAGAUGCAUGGAAAUUUGGUAAGGCUACGUCCCAUCGGAAAUAAGAAAGGUAAUAAAUAGAAAGGGCGUCGCGAGGGACGGUCAAAGAAGAUAGUAAAUGUUCGUACAAAACGGUCAGUGUUUUACAGAUUACCCAGAAGGGUAUCGAUAGCCGUGAUAGCCCGACGCCGGAUCUGAUCGGCAGAGUCAAGAACCCGUUGGUCUUCGUCUGCCGAUCCAGGGACUUCUGAUGUGCUGCGAUGGAGCUUUAGGGCCUCGUGUGCAAAGCGCUGCCGCUCCCGUGUCAAAUCGGCAAUAACAGAGGGUAGCUCUUGGAGCUUUUUCUCUUCGGCACCGAUUGCCUUAGUCACUUGCUCCAUCUCCUUGGCAAGCUUCGCCCUCCGACGCUUGAGGCGGUCUAUCUCACCGAUGAUCGCCGGGUGAGAAUCUUCCAGAACAUGGAUGCGCCGAUGUGCCUCUUGGGCUUGACGCUUGAACGCGUCCUCUUCUUCACGAGUCUUGGCCAGCUUGGCGCGAUCGGCCAUGUGACGAAGGGCUCUGAAGACCGGGAUCCUCAUAGACUCGAUGAAGGCUGCCGGUGCCAAUGCCUCUUCCGCCUCCUCUGGUACUCGUCCGCUGAUGUCACUGAAGAGCUGCCGAAUCGGUGAAGCGUCUUCUACUAGUUGACCGAUGUCCCCUUGAAGGAGGGAUCGUAUACUGGCAAGUUUGGCUCGGACGUCAUCAGGAACGGAGCUCAAGGUAACCUGGCGAGAAGCAACUUCUUCAUCGUCUGAGAGGGCGACCGCAAAAGAAAAGAGACUGUUGUCGGGGGUGUCUUGUUCCUGAAGAAAAUAAAGAGGGAGAAUAAAUCGGCGGGGAGUAAAAGCAAAUCGGCUGAAUAGAAGCCGAAACAAAACUUACAGCUUUGAAGCGAAUUUCUUCAUGCUGCACUUGUGAAGCCAUCACGCCUUGCUCAGGGGCCUGCGUCAUAGGUUCAUCAGAUGAAGAAGAUUCCACGAUGAUCGGCGCGGUGCUUGGACCAGCUCCCUGAGAAGAGACUGGUGGUUGAGGAGCGCUUGGUGUGCUGAUGACCUGUGUCAGAGGAUUGAAUGAGUACAUUAUGCAAAUACCAAAGGAAAUCGGUAAGAUAAUACUAUACCUCAAUGGAUAGAAGUGGGGGUGCGCCGAUGGCCGGUUGGGUUGCUGCCGAUUGUUGUAUUUCCAUAGGAGUGCUCUGUGCAGUCUAAAGAUAAGAAGGGUUAAUAUCAGAGCAACAAUCGGAAGCAAGAAAACUUAGGUUUACCUGAACGGCUUCCAAUAACAAUGACGCAGCGGCUGCUCCAGCUUGUGCAACGGCUUGGGUAUCAACAUCUUGGGUGACCUGAGAAGGUGGUGCGGCCGGAGUCUCUGCCGAUACAAGCACAGGAGGAUCCGCCGAUUCUAUACGAGCUCGGACUCGGCGACUGGUCUUCUUGGUGGUCCUCUUCUGGACUUGUUUCGAUCGGCCAGCAAUCACGUCCACGGACGGAGCAUCAUAGCCGAUAAGAGGGUAAGUGGUGUAUGGGUGGCUCUCUAUUAGCCGUCCGCUACGGCUGUGUGUUGGAGGAGUUCGAUUCUCGGCCUGAAGAAAUAGCAAAAUUAUUAGUGCUUAGUCACGUUAAGAGGAAUAAAAACCGGCUAAUACCUCAGCGUUCGGGUCGAUGUUGGCUGGGUCCAGAAGGUUGCAGUAUGCCGAUGCCGAGUUGCAGAAAAGAAAUUGCUUCCAAUCGGCCCACCAAAGUUUGAACGGCUGGACAGCAAAGGGAGCUACUAGCCAGUCGUUCAGGUCAAUGGUACUGGAGUCCGGAAUUCGGUCUCGUAACCGACUAUAAUCCAGGCCAGAUGUGAGCUCAUCUCUAAACUUGAUUCGGCCAGCAAAAUACACUUGAAUCGGCAGCUGACCCAUGGCGAAUUGACGUGCUGCAACAGAAGGGUUGUAGAAUUCAUACGUAGGGGCAUCCUUCCCCGAGAAGAAAUUGGCUGGCAGGAGCCCUGGCUUGAUUAACUCAUCAUAGAGCUCUUCAUCAAAUUGGCCGGAAGCUGAAUCGAAGCAAGUGGGGAGUUCAAAGACCGGGUCGUCUCGCUGAUACGGAAACCAAAUGGUUGCAUCUUCACUGAAGCCAUUAUAGAAGCAUUGAAAGUACUCGGCUACCUUUGUAGCAGAAUACAUGCAACCUGGGAAAGCUGAUGCCGCUUCACCGAAGGACAUACAUCGGCGACGUUCGGUAGGGUCUUCUGCCGAUUCGAUGUUGGGGAACAUCAUGCGAUCCACCGGCUGCUGAGUGAUUCUGCUCAUAUAAAGGUUCAACCACAAGUUGAUGAACCACCAGGGCCCGCCUUGAUUGCCGAUCGGCUCUCCCUUGGAUAGUCUUAUGCCAAUUUGGUGGAGCAUGUGGUACGCGGCCCCUAUCAAAUGUUUCCCAAGAGGGACAUGGUUUCCCCUGGACAGUGCUUCAGCUAAGGCCUGGGUAUUGGUUGUCGGGCCGGCGGCUCUUCCGCAAAAGAAGUGCUUUUCUAACCACAUCAUCAAGAAGGCUGUAUGCUCCCUAUUUUCAACAGUCCCGGUCCUCUUAUUGCUUCUGAUAAAACCCUUCCACCCGCCGAUUCCCCUUGUGUCCAACCGAUGUGAUGUUGCGGUUAGGAGGUGGUAGGGUGUGUCCGGGGAAGAUAUGUCAAGGCCGAUCAACAAGACCACAUCGGCCAGUGUUGGGGUCAUAGGACCGUGCCCAAAUAAGAAGGCAUUAAGUGCAUCUGACAUAAAAUAAGAAGCCGCCAUCACUAACGGCUCAUUUUUCUCCAUCUGGGAUAAGGAUAGGUUGAUGCACUGGCCGAUUUUGAGCUCUUCCCAUGAGACGCUCUUUGAUGCGGCUAUCCGUUGGUACCACUCCCUCCAACCUGGGGUUUCAUUCGGCCAAGAUCUAAAAGUACCCAGCCAGUGAUCUAAGUCCAUAUUAGACAGUUUGAAGGGUAUCCUGUGGGUUUCCAAAUUAAUAAGCUCUAUUGGAUCUGGGUUUCCCAUGGGUCCGAGACAAACAAGGCCGGGAUUUCCCGUAAGGUGAAUGGUAAUUCGAUGCCUAACUGCUUAAAAAGGGAAAGGGGAGUGUAGAAAAGUAAGAAACAGAUCUAAGGUAAAUAUAUUGCCGAUAGAAGAAGAAUUCGGUAUUUACCUCUGCGAUAAAGUUCUGAGUGAUCGGCGUGGUCGCCGGUGCGGAUGCGAACGACGGGGCCGCGAUGGGGAUCGCCAUCGGGAUCUCCGAUGAAACUCCUUCUUCUGUGGAUGGAGCGACGGCUGUCGCCACCACCGCCGGAGGUGCUACUUCUGGGACAUCGCGUGCGGGAGAGCUGCCGGAAGGAGCCGCCAUUGGAAGAGAAGAGGGAAAAGUAACAGGAGGUGGAGCUAGGAAGCUUCGGCGGCAAGGGAAAGAUGCUGGAGGAGGAAGAAGGCGCGCGCGCUGGGAAAAGAGACGUGAGCUUGAAGAUGAGGUGUGGGUGAAGCGCUAUUUAAAGGAUGCCUGAAGAGGGGUAAAAAUGGAAUUUUCACCGCGCCGGCGCUUCGAUUUUUUCGGGAGUAGUGGCUGUCGUGGGCGCCCGUUUCGAAAAAAUUGCAAUGAUCAGCUGGAAGACCGCGAAACGGAAGGAUAUUUUCACUGCGGCCGUUUCGGAAGGGAGGUUAUAAAGAAUUUCGAAGUAAAAGAUUAUGUUUUACUCCGAAACUGGGGGGCAUGUGUUGACGCCAGAUUUCGUCACUAAUAGAAUCGGUGCCAAGAAGAGAGGGAAUUGGAGGAGCACAGUUGGGAAUCGGCCAAAUGGUGCUACAGUGUGAGAUCGGCCGGUGACUUCUGUCUCGUUUAGGGUCGAAUAUACCAGAAUCCCAAUCGGUAGCCUUUUGCCAAUGAGGAAUCGGCCGAUUAGGAGGAUGGGUUAAUUGGGCCUGUAUGGGCUUGGAAUAGAAAGAUGAGGUGGAAAUCAGCCCACGAAGCGUGGAGUAACUAACCUAGCACGAAUCGUGCUUGUAGAUAUUUGUUUUCUGUUUGAAUUAGGGAUAGAAUUCUAGUCGGUUAAGAAAUCAUCUGUACGGGGCUAUAAAUAGCUACCUUUGUAAAUCUGUAAUCAUCAACCGAUCAAUACAACAAGCUACUUUUUCCUCGUACUUACUUUCAAGCAGGCGAUUUCGCUACUACUUUUCUCCUUUUCACAAGUUUGUGCGGGUUGGCAGGGUUGCAUCAUCUUGAUCUUCGGCCGAUUCUGUAAGUUCCGUUUAUCGAGUAAUAUCUAAGCUUUAACUUCGGGCGUAUCGCUGUUGUUUCGUUUAGAUUUAUUCACUAGUUAUCAAUAUUUACUAGAAUCGUAGGUUUUUUGCCUGUUGUUCUAGUUUUAUCACCAGUUAUCCAGCUAGAAAUCGGUAGUUUCGGUUUCAUUACUUUCUGCUGUUAAAUUCAUCUAUUGCCGAUUAGAUCUAUUCCUAGUGUUGUUAUCAUAGCUUUGUAUCGAUUACUCUAGUAAUUCUCUGUCAACAAGGCUACAGUGAUCGACUGCCCUAUAGCCGAUUCCUUUAUUAUAGUAAAUCGGCCGAUUCGCUGAUAAGCUCUCUCGAGAUCGGAAACUUAGCCGAUCGUGAUUUCUGAACCUGACACGUAUUCUUCCUUGCCAAUCAACAGGUCAGAUUGGCUGGCACGCUGCGGAGACCGCACCAGGGCAUUCACCCGAACAGGAGCUAAGCAGAUUCUCCCGGGUCGUGUGUUGGAUGUUGGGAUUCGGUUGACCGAUUUCUAGCGCCAACACCGAUUGAAGAAAAAAAAAGAGCGUGGCAUCGGCCGAUGGAAAAUUGGUUCAGCCGAUUGAAAAAAGAAAGAAAGAAAGAAAAAAGUGGGGCAUCGGUCAUUCGUGUGUCAAAAAAAAAACAAAAAAAGAGAGGGGCAUCGGCCAUUCAUGCGUCUCCUUAUUGAUAAAAAAAAUGGGCCGAUUGAAAAUUGAAUCGGCCGAUCAAAAGUUGUAUCGGCUGAUUAAAAUAUAUAUAUAUAUACACAUCGGCUGAUUGAAAUAAGGAAAGCAUCGGCUGACUGGUUCAAAAGAUGCAUCGGCCGAUUGAGAUAAGGGAAGCAUCAGCUAAUUAAAUACAUCAGCCGAUUGGGAUAUAUAUAAAAAAAAAGGGUAUCGGCUAAUUGAAAAAAGUGCAUCUGCCGAUUUGGAUAAAAAAGGGGAGUUGAAUCGGCUGCUCAAGCAUCGGCUGCCUAUUUAAUAUUCUCCCACAGCUCAUGGGAGAGAUGGAAGAUUUUUCAGCCGAUGCAAUAUUUUUCAGCCGAUGGAAUUGCUAACGUUGGCUGGCCAUAUAAAAAGCUAAUGUAGUUUUUUUGUUAUCGGCCAGUUCAAAGGAAAGCAUGGAUCAGCUAGCCGAUGGAAAGAGCCGAUGGAAAAAAAAAUUCCAAAGAAAACAAGUAUCGGCAGGUAUAAUGGCCGAUGGGAUAUUGAAGAGAAGUAAAUAAAAGAGGAAAAGGAGAGCAGCCGAUAGGAGUUCAGCCGAUGGGCAAAGGAAUAAAUAAAAGAAGAAAAAAAUAAGGGGAAGCAGCUAGCCGAUGGAGACUCCAACCAACCAGCAACCAAAAAAAAAAACAGUCAACGGAUGGAAGGAAUUCAGCCGAUUGCUACUUGCCAGCCGAUGGUUCUACUUUUUUCAGCCGAUAAUACUACUUGCUUGCCAUAUUUCAGCCGAUGAAGCUAAAUUCCAGCUACUGAUAUGAAAGCUCUUCCGGCCGAUUGGUUCAAGCAAAAUUGCAUCGGCUGAUCCCGAUUGGUUCAAGCAAAAUUGCGUCGGCUGAUUGGUUCAAGCAAGAUAGUAUCGGCUGCUUAUAAAAUAUAUUGGAUAUUAAUUUCGAAGCAUGAAAUAUUCAUACUUCGAAACUGGGGGGCCUGUGUUGACAACAAAAGCUUGCUGGUUACUGCACCAAGUUUUGGUGUCAACAGACUAAUUUGUUGUUUCUACUGCUGGCAAUGCCGAUGGUGUUCUUUAUAUUUGAAGAGGAGUCAACGUGGCUUUGGAUAUUGCAAUCAGACGUCAUUAGCUCUGAAGACAAGUAUCAGACUUCUAUAAUUAGUUUCGGAACAUGAAGCAUUCAUACUCCGAAACUGGGGGGCCUGUGUUGACACCGGAUUUUGACCAAUCCUAUAAAUUUAAAGUACGAGAUAAUCAGAGUCACGUACAACAAUAAGAAGCAAGCAUGCAUGCACAUGGGCACGGAGUCCAAAUCGGCUUCAUUGGAUUGAUCGGCAAGGAGAGGCAAGGAUGAUAUAAAGGAAAGACCAGCACGUAUGGAUAAAAAUGAUUAGAAUAUACAACAUGGAUUCUGGUGCACUUUGCAUGCCAUGCGUGGGAGGCUUCCAGAAUAAUUAUGCAUGCCGAUCUGUGCAUGUACGGGAGGUUGUACGGGAGGUUGUUUCAUAGAAUAAAAUAUUUUAGAGAUAGAGUUGGGUUAGUUAGAGAUAGAGUUUUUUAUUAGAAAAGAUUGUGUACGUGACUUGCCUUGUGCGUGGUUAGAUGCCAAUUAUGUAACGUCCGCCCUAUAAAUAUAAAGGGACGUGGCCAUUGUAAAGAAUCAUCACACGAUCAAUAAUACAACAUAUUUACCUUUACCUUUCGGCUUCACGCCAUUGCCCUAGGAGUAGGAGUAAUGUAGAUUCUCGACGAGUUCCUUCUAGCAAGCUGGGCUGCAUCAACCUCAAUCUCCGGCGAGCUGCAAGUUCCGUCACCAGGUGUUCUAGGCUUUAACCACCGGGCGCAUCGCUGUGGUUUCAUCUAGUUUCAUCUACCAGUUAUCGAGUAUCUUGGAUCUUUGACUUACGGCGCAUCGCUUCUGUCUCGAUCUGCGGUAUUCACCAGUUAUCCCGCCUUGAUUAAGCUUGCAUCGGCUGAUAUUUAUCUGCUCUUUCAUCUUGCCGUUCAGUUUGCUUUAAUUACCUUUAGAUCGGUUCAUCAUAGACGAUAGAUCAUUUAAUAGCCUGUUGCAUCUUAAUCUUGGUUACCCCUUCGAGUGUUGUUGGGAGUAAGUUCCAUUGUGAUUGGAUUCAUCAGCUGGCGGGGUUCAGAUUAACGUCCUGCUAAAUAUUUCUAGACUGCAACUACCGGGCGCAUCGCUGUGGUUUCACCUAAAAAUAUUGGUGGUGAUGUUAGUUUAGAUCUCAUCGGCUUGUGGCUCUAGCUAUGGUGGAGCAACAACUCAAUAGCAUCGUGUUUCCUAUCGGCCGUAUGGCUGAUGGUUAUUGUAAAUUAUAUUAAAUCGGCCCGAUCGGCCGACUCCAUCGAACUUCGAGAGAAUUAUCUCCACCUUGUCAGUUGAAUGGUCAAACUGACUGGCACGCCCGCGCACACCAUGCGCGCUGAUUUGGAUUCUGCACUAGAGUUAAGCAGAUCUCCCAGAUCCUCAUGUGGUGAUGCAGGGUCCACCACCUUCAGGAUUUUGCGUCAACACAUUUUGGCACGCCCGCGCACACCAUGCGCGCCGAUUUGAAUUCUGCACUGGAGUUAAGCAGACCUCCCAGGUCCUCGAGGUGACGGAAGCAGAUCUGAAGGACGACUAGAAGGAAGAACUGGACAAGUAUACGGAAUAGUUCCGGAAAGCUUGCCUAAAAUCGUUCAGUCGCUCCAGAAGCGGGGAAACUAUCAAGAAGACUCCUUUCCCUCCUCCCCGCUAGAUCACAAUUUCUGAGGAUUCGGACAAAAUGUCCGAUAUGAUUCAAUAGUCUAUUUAUCACGCCUUCAUCGAUCAGUCCCCGGUGCUUUCAAACAUGGUGCACAAUGCUGUUGUUAACUCCUUCGCCGGGGGGAUACCUCAAGGGUACAGGGAACCGGCAUAUUUUCAGCCGAUUCCACCGAACCAGACUUAUUCGAAUUCGGCUUCGCAGCCGAUCCAAUUUUCUGUCGGGAGUUCAGGUGCUUCCUCAUCAUCAGCUCCUAUGGGGUAUAACUCCAUUCAACUGUCUUCUGCACCGUUCCCUCCAGUUAGCCCAUUACCCUAGGGGGCACCUUCAGCCACGGCCGGCCAGAAUCAAUCGGCCAGUCAAGGAAACCCUCCAUUCCAGGCAUCUUUCCAAGCGGCCACUCGGCCGACCGUACCGCCAUACCAGCCUGUCGCUCCGGAGGUCAACAAGACAGCAGAGCUCAUGUUGUAUGAUGAAACGAGUGGUUCAUUCAGACAGCUGACCUUUACUACACAGCCGGCUUUUACUCAGAUACCAACCGCUUUCAAUCAGCCUCCGUUCAUUCCGCCUCCGGUUUACCAGCACGUGCCAAUACCUCAGCCAACAGUUUACCAGCAACAGCCAGACUGGUCAGCUCGUAUUGCGGAGGUGAUGCAAGAACAAUUCGGCUUAAAGCCGAAGGUACAGACUUACACCUACAAAACACCAUACCUAUCUACAUAUGACCUAUUGCCGUUUCCCCAUCAGUAUAAAGUGCCUGACUUCACUAAGUUUUCGGGGAUGGAUGACACUUCGACUGUGGAACACGUGAACAGAUUCAUCAUCCAAUGCGGAGAGGCAGCUACGCAGGAUGCUCUACGGGUACGGUUGUUCUCUUCAUCUCUGUCUGGUUCGGUCUUUCAGUGGUUCACGACAUUGCCGCCAAACUCGAUUAUCACAUGGGCCGAUUUAGAAAGACAGUUCCACAAGUACUUCUACGCCGGGGUGCAUGAGAUGAAGCUGUCCGAUUUAACCAGCCUCAGGCAAAGGAGUGACGAGCCGAUAUCCUCGUAUAUACAGAGGUUUCGGGAAAUCAGAAACAAGUGCUACUCCCUGGCUUUAAACGACGCGCAGUUGGCCGAUAUAGCUUUUCAAGGCCUUCUGCCCCACAUCAAAGAAAGAUACGCCUCACAGGAGUUCGAGAGUUUGAGCCAGAUUGUCCACCGAUUGUCUGGACAGGAGGUACGUUCCUUCGGUCCACGGAGGAAUUUCCAGAAGAAGGUGGCGUUCCUGGAAGAAUUAGAGGAUGAGGAAGAUGUUGAAGUCGGACUUGCAGAAUGGAUCAAGGGGAAAAAACCGAUAUCAUGCCCAUUCGGCAAAAAGGAGCCGGAGGUGUUCGGCUUUGACACGACCAAGGCCGAUAAAAUCUUCGAUCUUCUCCUCCAGGAAGGACAGAUUAAACUCUCACAGUACCAUACAAUACCUUCUGCCGAACAACUAAAAAAGAUGAAGUAUUGCAAGUGGCACAAUGCCACAUCCCAUGAUACCAAUGAGUGCAAGAUCUUCAGGCAGCAGAUACAGUCGGCCAUUGAGCAAGGCAGACUUAAGUUUGAAGUGCCAGCAAAAUCGGCCAAGCCAAUGAAGAUCGACCAGCACCCUUCCCCACCAACAUGGUUGAUACGGGGAAGAAUUCACUCCAAACAAAAGUGCUGACCUCUGAAUCAGCCAAAAAGAGUGGUGCCGUCGACCCUAGAAAUCAAGUUACGUCUGAAGAUGUCAAGGGGAAGCGGCGGAUGGAGGACGACGAUGGCGACUCAGAAGAACCGCGUAUUACUUCCCAGUUCCUGCUCCAAAAGUACCAACGUCAGCAUGAACGCUCAAGGUCCAGGGAAGAGAUGAUGUCACGGCACGAAGAUCACUGGAUGUGCCCGUUUUUCAUCCACUGUUGGGAAAACAACUUCAGGCUGCCUUCGGCCGAUAAUUGCCCGGAAUGCAACGGACCAUAUCGUGACAAUCGACCAUUCAACAGGUCUCGCUCCAGAGACGGAAGACCGGAACCGAUCAGCAGGAAUUGGCGCAGUCAAGAUGAUCAGCGCCCUCCCGUGCGUGAUCGGCUGGGGGGCAGAGGUGACCGGUAUGAUCGGUCAGAAGAUAGACGCCAUGACAAGCAGGGGGGCAGGACUGAUCGGCAUGACCGGUCAGAGAACACGGCCAACGUUCACAGCCGGCUCGAAGAGAUGGCCGAUGCUCGGGUAACAGAUGAAAACCCGUUAGGACGCGAACCAAAGUGGGAACGCGCCAAGUCAGGAGGAAGGCCAAUAAAUCCCAGGUGGUGCCCCGAUGGAUUGACCAAGUCUCAAAAACGGAGAAUCCAACGCCUCCACCAAUGGGAACAGCAAGAAGAGGAACAACAGAGCACCGACGAGAGAAGAAAGGAAAUGAAAAACUAAAGCCAAACUGGUACUAUCUGGAGGAAGUGCCGAGGCCGGUAUUUAUAAAGAAAAGAUGCGUGGAAAUUUGGUAAGGCUACGUCCCAUCGGAAAUAAGAGAGGCAAUAAAUAGAAGGGGCGUCACGAAGGACGGUCAAAGUAGAUAGUAAAUGUUCAUACAAAACAGUCAGUGUUUUACAGGUUACCCAGAAGGGUAUCGAUAGCCGUGAUUGCCCGACGCCGGAUCUGAUCGGCAGAGUCCAGAACCCGUUGGUCGUCAUCCGCCGAUCCGGGGACUUCUGAUGCGCUGCGGUGAAGUUUCAGGGCCUCGUGGGCAAAGCGCUGCCUCUCCCGUGUCAAAUCGGCAAUGACAGAAGGGAGCUCUUGAAGCCUCAUCUCUUCGGCACUGAUCGCCUUGGUUACUUGCUCCAUUUCCUUGGCGAGUUCUGCCCUCCGACGCUUGAGGCGGUCUAUCUCACCGAUAAUCCCCGGGCGGGAAUCCUCCAGGAAAUGAAUUCGCCGAUGCGCCUCUUGAGCUUGACGUUUGAACGCGCCCUCCUCUUCACGAGUCUUGGCCAGUUUGGCGCGAUCGGCCAUGUGACGAAGGGCCUUGAAGACCGGGAUCUUCAUAGACUCGAUGAAGGCUGCCGGCGCAAAUGCCUCUUCUGCCUCCUCUGGUACUCGUCCGCUGAUGUCACUAAAGAGCUGCCGAAUCGACGAAGCAUCUUCUACUAGUUGACCGAUGUCCCCUUGAAGGAGGGAUCGGAUACUGGCAAGUUUGGCUCGGACGUCAUCAGGAACGGAGCUCAAGGUAACUUGGCGAGAAGCAACUUCUUCGUCGUCGGAGAGGGCGACCGCAAAAGAAAAGAGGCUGUUGUCGGGGGUGUCUUGUUCCUGGAGAUGAUAAGAAGGAAGAAUAAAUCGGCUGGGAGUAAAAGCAAAUCGGCUGAGUAAAAGCCAGAACAUAACUUACCGCUUUGAAGCGAAUUUCUUCAUGUUGCACUUGGGAAGCCGACAUGCCUUGCUCAGGGGCCUGCACCAUGGGUUCGUCAGAUGAAGAAGAUUCCACAACGAUCGGCGCGCUGCUCGGACUAGCUCCCUGAGAAAAGAUGGGUGGUUGAGGAGCGCUUGGUAUGCUGAUGGCCUGUGUCAGAGGAUUGAAUAAGUACAUUAUGCAAAUACCAAAGGAAAUCGGUAAGAUAAUACUAUACCUUAAUGGAUGGAAGCGGGGGUGCGCCGAUGGCCGGUUGGGUUGCUGCCGAUUGUUGUAUUUCCAUAGGAGUGCUCUGUGCAGUCUAAAGAUAAGAAGGGUUAAUAUCAGAACAACAAUCGGAAGCAAGAAAACUUAGGUUUACCUGAACGGCCUCCAAUAACAAUGACGCAGCGGCUGCUCCAGCUUGUGCAACGGCUUGGGUAUCAACAUCUUGGAUGACCUGAGAAGGUGGUGCAGCCGGAGUCUCUGCCGAUACAAGCACAGGAGGAUCCGCCGAUUCUAUACGAGCUCGGACUCGGCGACUGGUCUUCUUGGUGGUCCUCUUCUGGACUUGUUUCGAUUGGCCAGCAAUCACGUCCACGGACGGAGCAUCAUAGCCGAUAAGAGGGUAAGUGGUGUAUGGGUGGCUCUCUAUUAGCCGUCCGCUGCGGCUGUGUGUUGGAGGAGUUCGAUUCUCGGCCUGAAGAGAUAGAAAAAUCAUUAAUGCCCAGUCACGUUAAGAGGAGUUAAAAUCGGCUAAGUAAAGUACCUCGGCGUUCGGGUCGAUGUUGGUGGGGUCCAGAAGGUUGUAGUAUGCCGAUGCCGAGUUGCAGAAAAGAAAUUGCUUCCAAUCGGCCCACCAGAGUUUGAACGGCUGGACAGCAAAGGGAGCUACUAGCCUGUCGUUCAGGUCAAUGGUACUGGAGUCCGGAAUUGCGGUCUCGUAACCAACUGUAAUCCAGACCAGAUGUGAGCUCAUCUCUAAAUUUAAUUCGGCCAGCAAAAUACACUUGAAUCGGCAGCUGACCCAUGCCGAAUUGACGUGCUGCAACGGAAGGGUUGUAGAAUUCAUACGUGGGGGCGUCCUUCCCCGAGAAGAAGUUGGCCAACAGGAGUCCUGGUUUGAUUAAUUCGUCAUAAAGCUCUUCAUCAAAUCGGCCAGAAGCCGAAUCGAAGCAAGUUGGGAGUUCAAAGACCGGGUCGUCUCGCUGAUACGGAAACCAAAUGGUUGCAUCUUCACUGAAGCCAUUAUAGAAGCAUCGAAAGUACUCGGCUACCUUUGUAGCAGAAUACAUGCAACCUGGGAAAGCUGAUGCCGCUUCACCAAAGGACAUGCAUCGGCGACGUUCGGUUGGGUCUUCUGCCGAUUCGAUGUUGGGGAACAUCAUGCGAUCCACCGGCUGCUGAGUGAUUCUGCUAAUAUAAAGGUUCAACCACAAGUUCAUGAACCACCAGGGCCCGCCAGCAGAUGUUUCCCAAGAGGGACAUGGUUUCCUCUGGACAGUGCUUCAGCUAAGGCUUGGGUAUUGGUUGUUGGGCCGGCGGCUCUUCCGGAAAAGAAGUGUUUUUCUAGCCACAUCAUCUAGAAAGCCGUGUGCUCCCUAUUCUCAACAGUCCCGGUCCUCUUAUUGCUUCUGAUAAAACCCUUCCACCCGCCGAUUCCUUUUGUGUCCAGUCGAUGUGAUGUUGCGGCUAGAAGGUGGUAGGGUGUGUCUGGGGAAGAUAUGUCAAGGCCGGUCAACAGGACCACAUCAGCCAGUGUUGGGGUCAUAGGACCAUGCCCAAAUAAGAAGGCAUUAAGUGCAUCAGACCAAAAAUAAGAAGUUGCCAUCACUAACGGCUCAUUUUUCUCCAUCUGGGAUAAGGAUAGGUUGAUGCACUGGCCGAUUUUGAGCUCUUCCCAUGAGACGCUUUUGGAUGCGGCUACCCGUUGGUACCACUCCCUCCAACCUGGGGUUUCAUUUGGCUAGGACCUAAAAGUACCCAGCCAGUGAUCUAAGUCCAUAUCAGACAGUUUGAAGGGUAUCCUGUGGGUUUCCAAAUUUAUAAGAUCUAUUGGAUCUGGGCUUCCCAUGCGUCUGAGACAAACAAGGCCGGGAUUUCCCGUAAGGUGAAUGGUAAUUCGGUGCCUAACUGCCUAAAAAAGGAAAGGGGAGUGUAGAAAAGUAAGAAACAGAUCUAAGGUAAAUAUAUUGCCGAUAGAAGAAGGAUUCGGUAUUUACCUCUGGAAUGAAGUUCUGAGUGAUCGGCGUAGUCGCCGGUGCAGAUGCGGGCGAUGGAGCCGCGAUGGGGAUCGCCAUUGGGAUCUCCGAUGAAGCUCCUUCUUCUGUGGAUGGAGCAACGACUGUCGCCACCACCGCCGGAGGCGCUACUUCUGGGACAUCGCGCGCGGGAGAGCUGCCGGAAGGAGCCGCCAUUGGAGGAGAAGAGGAAAAAGUAACAGGAGGUGGAGUUAGGAAGCUUCGGCGGCAAGGGAAAGAUACUGAAGGAAGGAGAAGGCGCGCGCGCUGGGAAAAGAGACGUAAGCUUGAAGAUGAAGUGUGGAGUGAAGCGCUAUUUAAAGGAUGCCUGAAGGGGGGUAAAAGUGGAAUUUUCACCGCGCCGGCGUUUCGAGUUUUUCGGGAGUAGUGGCUGUCGUGGGCGCCCGUUUCGAAAAAUUGUAAUGAUCAGCUGGAAGACCGCGAAAUGGGAGGAUAUUUUCACUGCGGCCGUUUCGGAGGGGAGGUUAUAAAGAAUUUAGAAGAAAAAGACUAUGUUUUACUCCGAAACUGGGGGGCAUGUGUUGACGCCAGAUUUUGUCACUAGUAGAAUCGGCGCCAAGAAGAGAGGGAAUCGGAGAAACACAGUUGGGAAUCGGCCAAAUGGUGCUACAGUGUGAGAUCGGCCGGUGACUUCUGUCUCGCUUCGGGUCGAAUGUACCAGAGUCCCAAUCGGUAGCCUUUUGCCGAUGAGGAAUCGACCGAUUAGGAGGAUGGGUUAAAUGAGCCUGUAUGGGCUUGGAAAAGGAUAAAAGGAUGAGGUGGAAAUCAGCCCACGAAGCGUGGAGUAACCAACUUAGCACGAAUCGUGCUUGUAGAUAUUCGUUUUCUGUUUGAAUUAGGGAUAGAAUUCUAGUCGGUUAAGAAGUUAUCUGUACGGGGCUAUAAAUAGCUACCUUUGUAAAUUUGUAAUCAUCAACCAAUCAAUACAACAUACUACUUUUUCCUCGUACUUAUUUUCAAGCAGGCGACUUCGCCAACACCUUUCUCUUUUUCACGAGUUCGUGCGGAUUGGCAGGGCUGUAUCAGUUUGAUCUCCGGCCGAUUCUGUAAGUUCCGCUUAUCGAGUAAUAUCUAAGCUUUAACUCCUGGCGUAUCGCUGUUGUUUCGUUUAGAUUUAUUCACCAUUUAUCGAUAUUUACUAGAAUCAAAGGGUUUUACCUGUUUUUUCUAGUUUUAUCACCAGUUAUCCAGCUAGGAAUCGGUAGUGUCGGCUUUCUUUAGUUUCUGCUAUCAAACUCAUCUGUUGCCGAUUAGAUCUAUUUCUAGUGUUGUUAUCAUAGCUUUGUAUCGAUUACUCUGGUAAUUUUCUGUUUACAAGGCUACAGUGAUCGGCUGUUUUAUAGCCGAUUCCUUUACUAAGGCAAAUCGGCCGAUUCGCUGACAAGCUCUCUCAAGAUCGGAAACUUAGCCGAUCGUGAUUUCUGAACCUGACACGUAUCCUUCCUUGCCAAUCAACAGGUCAGAUUGGUUGGCACGCCGCGCGAACCGCACCAGGGCAAUCACCCGAACAGGAGCUAAGCCGAUUCUCCCAGGUCGUGUGUCGGACGCUGGGAUUCGGUUGACCGAUUUCUAGCGCCAACAGUAUGCAAGUUCAACAAGUAUGGAUUUGAAAAAACCUUAUUGAAUUUGAUAAGAUAAACUAUCUAGACAAGGUAGCAGCAUUAUUAACCCACUACAAGAAUGCAUACUAUAUAUGACACAUCAAUCUCCCUCACAUUCUAGCUCAAAAUACGCCUCCAUUUUCUACUUCAUCGCAUUCUAGCAAAUAAUCUUUCCAUCUCCAAAGCAUCAAUCAAAGCAUAACUCGAGGAUGAAGUAGCAAAUCUUCACAACACUUGUGUUGGCUGAGUGAAAUUUCCAUGAAAAUGAGGGAAAAAACUUCGGGCAGCACCUCCCUUGCUUCGGCACCACCGGAGAGUAGGUGAAGCUCAGCUCUCUAUCUAUGUGCUGGACUGGCUCGGGCUAGAGGAGGAAGAAAGGCCUCUGUCUUGGUAUAUAAUGGGGAUGAGUUUUUAUCCCGGUUAAAAACUCCAACCGAGAUAAAAAGGAACACCUUUUGUCCCAGUUGAAAGUUUAGUCCCGGUUGGAAGCUGCAACCGGGACUAAACUUUUUGUCCCGGGUGGAGACUUCAACCGGGACAAAAGGUCCACCCUUUUAUCCCGGUUAAAGGCCUCCAACCGGGACAAAAGGGUCCCGCCACCGAUACCCCGAAACUAGCCGUUGCAACCAGGACUAAACGGGGGCCUUUAGUCCCGGUUGCAAAUACCAACCGGGAAUAAAUCUCCCCUCCAGUUUUUCCAACCGUGGUGCACCCCCUUUUGUCCCGGGCCAACUUUAAACCGGGACAAAAGGGGACGCAUCGAAAGUCAAUUCUGUAAAAAGCGGUCUAAGAGAUUGCUACUGUUUUCGACAAGUGCGGAUCCAUGUCCUUGGUAGCGAGAUUAAGAGAUUGCUCUGGUUUUGUUUCUCAGCCGAAGAACGAAAUUCCGAGGAAGUCUGUACCGGUGCUGUGGACAUCGUCGUCAGGACGUCGACCGUACCGUACCCGUGAGAAUCUUGUACUGCUUGUAAGUAUUCGCCACUAGACAGAGUCUUGCGCUGGUCGUCGCCCGGCGAAUAACCUACGAUCGGCGAAUAACCUGUCCGAUUCGUCCUUUAUUUUGUCCAGUUACAGUCUAUAGUACUGUAACUACAGUACAAGCUACACUACGGCAUCACAGAGACAGACUUGUUCCUUCAAAUUUAAUAUUGUUCGGUUGUGUUGACUUCUUCCCAUUGACUUGCUGGCUUGCUGCUCAAUAUCCUUUUACUUACUAGGGCGUUCCAGAAACUUGAAAUUUGUAGGUUUCAAUAUGCACGUCUAGCAUUCAAAAAUAAUAGCAAUAGUUUCUUAUUUACUUAUCUUUCAAUAUGUUAUUAAUUUGUAACAGUACACCGUAAGAAAAAUUAAUGGUUCAAAUUUAUUUUUUUAAAAGACAUUUUCAAACCUGUAAAUUUAGAAGAAAAUGGCUAAGGAAGUAUUCAUAGGGACAGUGCAGAGUCAUAGUAGCUAGAGCUAGUGUAGUACUAUCGGCAGCUAAAGAGAUGGCAACGGGCAAAAAUAUCGGCGUGCCCGCGGAUAUGAAACCCGAUGGGCAUGGAUAUGGGUCUAAAUCUGUGCCCACGGGUUUGGCAUGUGACCCUAACCCCAAUAUCAUAUAUAAACUUAGAUUACGGUUUCAUUCUAACUUUCUGAAUCCCUAUUCAUUUUCCCCUCCUCCUGCUGUGGCACUCUAACUUAGUGACUCGGUCCCUCCCGGCCUCCCCCCGCCACCCAUCUCCCCGAGACCCCGACCCAGUGCCGCCAGGCCGCUAGCGCCGCCCCUUCCCGCUGCUAGCCGCCCCCGGAUCCGUCGUCUGCCCAUCCACCCCCAUCUCCUCGAGACCUCAACCCAGUGCCACCAGACCGCUAGCGCCGCCCCUUCCUGCCGCCGGCCGCCCCUGGAUCCGUUGUCCGCCCAUCCGUCGCCGAUCACCACUCGCCACCUCAUCCGGUAGCUCACAGUGGUCCCUGCCCACGUCCCCCUUCUCCCCGACCCCGAGACCCUGACCCAGUGGCCAGUGCUGCCAUGAACCUUUCCCGUCGCCGACCGCCCCCGGAUCUGUCGUCCGCCCAUCCACUGCCGGUCGCCACCUCAUCCAGCUGCUCAUCUGCCUGCAGGUAACUCUACCACCACUCUUCUAUGUUCAGAUUUCUGAACCUCUUAUUUUCUAGCUUGAGGGUAAAUUUGACUGACUAGAAUACUAGAUCAUGUAAAUCCAUCCUAUUUUGAGUACAUCUGCAUUCGUUGACUAUAUUCUAGAUCUGCAUUGUACUUAUCUGCAUCACCUGCAUUUGUUUUGCAGUUGCCAUGGCUAUUAGCUCGCGUGUGCCGGCCUUCCAAACUUCUAGUGCUGUUGUGGCUGCUACCGGCACUGUGGGGGAUGAUGUUGUGCACAUAUCAGAUGGUGAGGAAGAAGCUCGUACUAGUACUGGUUCAAAGAGGAAGCUCACUUCAAAAGUGUGGAACGACUUUGAGAAGGUAUGUGUUGAUGGAGUGUGGAAGGCCAAAUGCAUUCAAUGCGGCAAGAAGCUUUUAGCUAUUUCAAGAAAUGGUACAACAUAUCUAAAAACCCAUAUAAAAUCUUGUAUCUACAAUAAAAAGAAGCUAGGGGAUAAAAUUCAAACUGAUUUGAGGUUUGGACCGACUGAAACUGGAGCAGUGAGUGUAGAAAACUAUGUGUUUGAUCAAGGGUAUGGUUUUCUACCCGUGGCGGGCGGUGUGCGCGAGCAUGGGUAUAUGGUCAUGGACAUUGUAUCCACGCGGAUUUUGCCCGUUGCCCAGCAGCCGCUAUGCCCUGCCGGCCGGUGAGACAGCUGUGCGGCUCGGCCUUUUGGGCCUUGUAUUUGCCCAGCUCGGUCAGUCCUGUAUUUUUUUCUUUUAUCCAUUUCUUUAUUUCCUAAUUAGAAAGUAAGAGAAAACCCCCACAAAUGGACAGCAAUAAGUUGCGCUACACAAAUAUAUAUAGAAUAUAAGCAGCUUAACACUGAUACAAGAGAGAGUACCACACUACUGUUGAAAUAAUGGGCCUAGCCCAUUAGUAAUUUCAGAAUUUCAAUUAAAUCUCAAAGGCCCAUGUGGGCAAGAGGUGGAGUGCAAAUCUUUAGUCCCACAUUGCUAGUGGAGGGGAGGGAUGACCAAGUUAAAUAUGGAAGUUGUCUCCACUCCUCCAAGCUAUGUGUGUGGGAGGGAAGAAAAGCUCCACACGUGCUCGCUCGCUCGCUCACCUCGCCGGGCGGGGCGGGGCGGGGCGGGGUGGGGCGAAGGGCGCGGGCGCGCGGCACCUGCGUGAAUGGUCCGCCGAAAUCCGGCCCCUCGCCUUGCGGGGGUGCGGCUUCCUUUUGCCGUUUUAUUUUUUGGUUACUUGGUCAUUAAGUCAGCGAGAUAUAUGGAAUCCUAACCGGUUUAGAUCACGAUCGCGACGUGAUAAUCGUGGGCUCUCCUAUAUAUGCGACCUAUCGGCCUCUACCAGAAACAGAUACAUUCGAGCUAGGGUUUUUGCCUCCUCUCGCUGCUGCGCCGCCACCGUAGUCUACUCCAUCCCGAUUGUCGGCGUGCACCGGCGAUUGGGAGAGCAGGUCUCCGGAACCGUCGUCUUCAGCGAUCCUGCACCGGGAGAGGGCGAAUAAGGUUUUUGGGAAGCGCUCUGCGCGACUGCUCGAUCGCUUCCUCCGCUUCGUCAAGUUCUUCGUCGACUCCUUCACCACGGCUCGUCCACCUCUUCGUCGCUCGGGCCUCACUCGUCGUCGCGAACAACGUCAGGCUGCUGAUCGUCGUUGCCUGUUGUAUCCAGUAGUCGUCCAGGAGCCGGUUUUCAUCAAGAAAGAAACGUACGUUCUCUUAACUCACAUCAUGUCCUCCAUACUAGCUAUUAUGAUCUGUUGCAGUCUGAUAGCACUGGAUAGUAUGGUAGAAUGUCUGAUUCUAUUUGCAAUGAUAGACUUGUCUAGAUCUUGCGUAGACAGGUCUAGUUUAAUCUGCUGCUUGUUCAUCAUAUUCAUGAUUUAUUUCUGGAUUAAGUUAAAACUAAAAGUGCUUAUAUAUCCAACAAUCCAAAAACCUUAUUGUAGGCACUUUAGUUUUAUGGCUGGAUUUCUUGAUGCACUGAGGCCAGCACCGUUUGCUGGCGUGCACUUCAAGAGGUGGCAGGUGAAAGCCACGCUAUGGCUUACUGCCAUGAAGGUGUUCUGGGUGUCCAAUGGCAAACCGGAAGGAGUUCUCGCUCCUGAAAAGGAGAAAGAAUAUUCGGAAGCCAACACAAUCUUCUUGGGCGCUGUGAUUGGUGCACUUGCAGAACAUCUGCAGGAUGUGUACCUUCAUCACACGGUCGCAAAGGAGUUGUGGGAUGAUCUGACUGCCAACUAUGGUGGCUCAGAUACUGGCACUGAACUGUACAUCAUUGAGCAAUAUCAUGACUACAAGAUGGUUGACGGAAAAUCUGUAGUCGCUCAGGCUCAUGAAUUACAGUGCAUGGUGAAGGAACUCGAUCUGCUAAAGAUUGUCGUGUCCGACAAGUUUGUGGCUGGGGGCAUUAUUGCCAAGUUACCUCCAUCCUGGAGGGAUUUCGCCACUUCUCUCAAACACAAGAGGGCAGAAAUUUCUGUUUCAGACUUGAUUGCAUCUCUUGAUGUUGAGGAGAAAGCUCGGGCUAAAGAUGGACGAUCUAAAGCUGUUGAGGGUCAGACCAGUGCCAAUAUGGUGCACCAAUCACAUCACAAUGGCAAUGGUGCUAAGGGCAAGGGCAAGAACAAUAAGCCUAAGCAGUCCACUACCUUCAAGAAGAAGAAGAACAAGGAGAACGAGGGAUGCUUCGUGUGCGGUUCUACUGACCAUUGGGCAAAGAAGUGCCCAAACCGCAAAGGAAGAAAACCUCCACAGCAGAAGUCUGUAAGCAUGGUGACCAGCGCUGGAGAUGGAAAUAGUGGGUAUGGUAAUUUACCUUCUGUUUUUUCAGUGUUUCAUUCUACCAAUACUUGGUGGCUUGAUACUGGUGCUAAUGUUCAUGUGUGUGCUGAUGCCUCCUUGUUUUCAUCUAACCAGGUCGCUCGGGAUUCCUCCGUCCUAAUGGGGAAUGGGUCACAUGCUUCUGUUCAUGGUGUUGGUACGGUAGAUCUGAAGUUUACUUCGGGAAAGAUCGUGCAACUGAAGAACGUGCAGCAUGUCCCUUCUAUCAGGAAGAAUCUAGUUAGUGGCUCCCUUUUGUGUAGGGAUGGCUUUAAGGUAGUGCUUGAGUCUAAUAAAAUUGUCGUGUCCAAGAGUGGACAAUUUAUUGGUAAAGGCUAUGAGUGCGGAGGCUUGUUCCGCUUUUCCCUUACAGAUUAUUGCAAUAAGUCAGUGAACUAUAUUUGUGAUGGUAUUAAUGAGAGUGAUGCUAGUGUUUGGCAUUCACGUUUAUGUCAUCUGAAUUUUGGUUCUAUGUCUCGACUUUCCAGCCUGUGUUUAAUUCCGAAUUUUUCCAUUGUCAAAGGUUCUAAGUGCCAUAGUUGUGUGCAAUCUAAACAACCUCGGAAACCUCACAAGGUAGCCGAGGAGAGACACUUGGCACCACUUGAACUCAUUCAUUCUGAUAUAUGCGAGAUGAAUGGUGUGUUGACCAAAGGUGGAAAAAGAUAUUUCAUGACUUUGAUAGAUGAUGCGUCUAGAUAUUGCUAUGUAUAUUUAUUGAAAACGAAAGAUGAGGCUCUUAACUACUUUAAAAUCUAUAAGGCUGAAGUUGAGAAUCAGCUUGAGAAAAAGAUCAAGAGAAUUAGGUCUGAUCGUGGUGGCGAGUAUUUCUCUAAUGAUUUCGACUUGUUCUGUGAAGAAUAUGGUAUUGUACAUGAGAGGACGCCUCCAUAUUCGCCCCAAUCAAACGGGGUUGCCGAAAGAAAGAAUCGCACUUUGACUGACUUGGUGAACGCCAUGUUAGACACCAGUGGAUUAUCUAAGGCAUGGUGGGGGGAGGCUGUAUUGACUUCAUGUCAUGUCCUGAAUAAAGUACCCAUGAAGAAUAAGGAGAAAACUCCCUAUGAAGAAUGGAUUGGAAGAAAACCAUCACUUUCAUACUUACGCACUUGGGGUUGCUUGGCCAAAGUUAGUGUGCCAAUCAACAAGAAACGUAAGUUGGGACCUAAAACUGUGGAUUGUGUCUUUUUGGGAUAUGCUCAUCAUAGCAUAGCCUAUAGAUUUUUAGUGGUUAAAUCAGAGGUGCCUGAUGUUCAUGUUAAUACCUUGAUGGAGUCUCGUGAUGUUACUUUCUUUGAGAAUAUAUUUCCUAUGAAACAAUUGCAUAGUAUGUCUAGACUAUCUUCUGAUAUGAUUGCUGAGACAACUCCUGAACCUAUUGUGCUUCCUGAUCAUGUUGAACAAACACUUGAGCCAGUUCAUGAGGAGGUUAACAGUGAAGCUCCUAAGAGGAGCAAGAGACAAAGAACUGCAAAGUCCUUUGGUGAUGAUUUCACUGUCUAUCUCGUAGAUGAUACUCCUAAGACCAUUUCAGAGGCAUUUGCAUCUCCAGAUGCAGAUGAUUGGAAAGAAGCUAUCCAUAGUGAGAUGGACUCUAUUCUUUCUAAUGGAACUUGGGAGGUUGUUGAUCGACCGUAUGGUUGUAAACCUGUGGGUUGCAAGUGGGUGUUCAAGAAGAAGCUUAGGCCUGAUGGUACUAUUGAUAAGUACAAGGCUCGACUUGUGGCUAAGGGUUAUACCCAGAAAGAAGGCGAAGAUUUCUUCGACACUUACUCACCUGUUGCGAGAUUGACCAGUAUUCGAGUAUUACUUUCCCUUGCUGCCUCACAUGGUCUUCUUGUCCAUCAGAUGGAUGUUAAGACAGCUUUCCUUAAUGGAGAGUUGGAUGAGGAAAUUUAUAUGAAUCAGCCUGAUGGAUUUGUAAUAAAGGGUCAAGAGAACAAGGUGUGUAAGUUGCUGAAAUCUUUGUAUGGCCUGAAACAAGCACCUAAGCAGUGGCAUGAGAAAUUUGAUACUACACUCAUAUCAGCAGGCUUUUCUGUCAAUGAGGCUGAUAGAUGUGUGUACUACCGCCAUGGUGGGGGUGAGGGAGUUAUAUUGUGUUUGUAUGUCGAUGACAUACUGAUAUUUGGUACAAAUCUUGACGUGAUCAAAGAGGUCAAGUUAUUUCUGUGCCAAAAUUUCGACAUGAAAGAUCUGGGAGAGGCUAAUGUAAUUCUGAAUAUCAAGUUGAUCAAAGGAGAGAAUGGGAUUACUCUCACGCAAUCUCAUUAUGUGGAAAAGGUCUUGAGCCGGUUUGGCUUUAAGGACAGUAAGCCUUCUCCCACACCUUAUGAUCCGAGCUUGAUACUUCGCAAAAACAAGAGAAUUGGUAGAGACCAAUUAAGAUACUCUCAGAUUAUUGGAUCACUUAUGUAUUUAGCCAGUGCUACUAGGCCUGACAUCUCAUAUGCUGUUUGCAAACUGAGCCGGUUUACCUCUAAUCCGGGAGAUGAUCAUUGGCGUGCGCUUGAGCGAGUCAUGCGCUAUUUAGUUGGUACUAUGGAUUACGGAAUUCACUACUCCGGGUAUCCUGCGGUGCUGGAAGGCUAUAGUGAUUCAAAUUGGAUAUCUGAUGCUGAUGAGCUGUAUGCCACAAGUGGAUACGUCUUCACUCUUGGUGGUGGUGCUGUUUCAUGGAGGUCAUCCAAACAGACUAUCUUAACGAGGUCUACAAUGGAAGCAGAACUUACAGCAUUAGAUACAGCCACAGUUGAGGCUGAUUGGCUACGUGAACUCUUGAUGGACUUGCCUAUUGUCGAGAAACCUAUGCCGGCAAUACUUAUGAAUUGUGACAAUCAAACGGUGAUUGUCAAAGUGAACAAUUCUAAGGACAAUAUGAAGUUAUCAAGACAUGUUAAGAGACGUCUGAAAUCUGUCAGGAAAAUGAGAAACUCCGGAGUAAUAUCAGUGGAUUACAUCUCAACUGAUAAGAACUUGGCAGAUCAGUUCACUAAGGGGCUGUCACGUAAUGUGAUAGACAAUGCAUCAAAGGAGAUGGGUAUGAGACCCAUAUGAGCUACACCAUGGUGGUAACCCAACCUAUGUGAUUGGAGAUUCCGUGAAGUAGGAUCUGGGAAGAACAAGCCAUGGGAUAGCAUGAGAGUAUCCUACUAACCCACUCGAGAAAUGAUGCAACACUCUCAAACCACUGCAUGGCAGGCUGGCUAGUGCCUUAAUAUAUUUUGUUGACUUUAAUUAGCAAAGAUGUUGCCCUGCAGAACAUCUUGGAAAAAUAUACCUAUAUGAGCCCGAUUGUUGUAAGGUCGCAGUCUGUGAGACUUGGGUGAUCUCUAUUAAGCUCAUGAAGAGACCAGGGGGGUACGACCUAUAUGCCCCACCCGCGGGGUAGGCUACAGGCAGCCAGGUACUAGUCCCGACUUUGAGUGAAACUUGUCCGCACAAAACUUGCAAUUCAAGGCUUUGUCCAUUGUUCAAGUUGUGGAUGAAUGUAGCUUGAAGCUCUAGGUGAGAGUUCAACUUAACAGUCCUCGCCGAAACACUAGUAUAUAAAUAGCAGUGAGAAACAGGCAAAAUCUCUGAUGGGCAUUUGAGAUCUGGUGGGGGAUUGUUGAAAUAAUGGGCCUAGCCCAUUAGUAAUUUCAGAAUUUCAAUUAAAUCUCAAAGGCCCAUGUGGGCAAGUGGUGGAGUGCAAAUCUUUAGUCCCACAUUGCUAGUGGAGGGGAGGGAUGACCAACUUAAAUAUGGAAGUUGUCUCCACUCCUCCAAGCUAUGUGUGUGGGAGGGAAGAAAAGCUCCACACGCGCGCGCUCGCUCGCCUCGCCACGCCUUGCCUAGCCGGGCGGGGCGGGGCGAAGGGCGCGGGCGCGCGGCACCUGCGUGAAUGGUCCGCCGAAAUCCGGCCCCUUGCCUUGCGGGGGCGCGGCUUCCUUUUGCCGUUUUAUUUUUUGGUUACUUGGUCAUUAAGUCAGCGAGAUAUAUGGAAUCCUAACCGGUUUAGAUCACGAUCGCGACGUGAUAAUCGUGGGCUCUCCUAUAUAUGCGACCUAUCGGCCUCUACCAGAAACAGAUACAUUCGAGCUAGGGUUUUUGCCUCCUCUCGCUGCUGCGCCGCCACCGUAGUCUACUCCAUCCCGAUUGUCGGCAUGCACCGGCGAUUGGGAGAGCAGGUCUCCGGAACCGUCGUCUUCAGCGAUCCUGCACCGGGAGAGGGCGAAUAAGGUUUUUGGGAAGCGCUCUGCGCGACUGCUCGAUCGCUUCCUCCGCUUCGUCAAGUUCUUCGUCGACUCCUUCACCACGGCUCGUCUACCUCUUCGUCGCUCGGGCCUCACUCGUCGUCGCGAACAACGUCAGGCUGCUGAUCGUUGUCGCCUGUUGUAUCCGGUAGUCGUCCAGGAGCCGGUUUUCAUCAAGAAAGAAACGUACGUUCUCUUAACUCACAUCAUGUCCUCCAUACUAGCUAUUAUGAUCUGUUGCAGUCUGAUAGCACUGGAUAGUAUGGUAGAAUGUCUGAUUCUAUUUGCAAUGAUAGACUUGUCUAGAUCUUGCGUAGACAGGUCUAGUUUAAUCUGCUGCUUGUUCAUCAUAUUCAUGAUUUAUUUCUGGAUUAAGUUAAAACUAAAAGUGCUUAUAUAUCCAACAACUACAUGCACAAUUCAUAGUACAAUCAACUCAACAAUGGUAACAGUGAAUAUACACAGGGAUAGACUAUGCUGAACUCUUGCUAUAAAGUAGUUGCUGCCUUGGUGCUGACCAUGCUCCAUGCAUGCUUAAUUAGCUUGCAACAGAACUUGAGCCUCCGCUGGCUAUUGCCUUCACUUCCUUAAGUUUCUCCACCACCUCAGCCAUUGUCGGUCUGUCAUCCACCGCGAGCCUACUGAUCCUGUCAAGGCAUUCCAUUUGAUGAUGUGAUCGGGCAUCGUCACCAGACAAGAUCUCUUCGUCGUGCAACUUCCUUCCAUGGCCCUCCUCCUUGAAGGACCUGGUGAAGUCUAUGUAGAGGCUAUUGUACCCAUACUUGGCCGGCUUCCUCGUGACAAGCUCCAAGAGCGCCCACACACCAAAGCUGUAGACGUCGCUCUUCUCCGUGAAGCGGCCAGACUUUAUGUAUAUUGGUUCUAUGUAGCUCAUGUCCCCGGACACACACCACUUGGAGUACCUGCUGGCGACGGACACGAGCUUCGCCGACUCGAAAUCAGAGACCUUGGGUGUGAGGUUAUCGUCGAGGAGGAUGUUGCCGGACUUGAUAUCGCCAUGGACGUGGUUGUGGCCACCGUGUGAGUGCAUGUAGGCAAGAGCUUCCGCUGAGCCAAUGGCACUGUCCAGGCGCACUGGCAUGGACAGAGGGAGCGUCUUGCCAGCGCCAUGGAGGACGCUGUGUAGGCUGCCUCUGGGGACAAACUCGAAGACAAGCAUGGGAACAUCUGUCUCGAGGCAGCACCCAACAAGGCGGACAAGGUUAGUAUGGCUGAUGCGGAACUGGAAGGUGAUCUCGUUAACGAACUCCUCCUGUGGAAGAACAUCGCCUUUCGCAGUGGAGCACUUAACUGCGACCUGUUGGGAGUCAUCUGUCAUCCCUAUAUAGACCUUGCCAAAGGCACCUUCUCCGAUGGAUUUUUUGUAUCCGUUUGUGAUUUUCUUCAGCUGACCCUCCGUGAAGAUGUUAAUGCCCAUGCUCUUGAGUAUGUCACCGCCGUUUCUGUCGAAAAACCUCCUGUGCUUUCGCCUCUUUACCUCAAAAAUUGCGAAAGUUGCUACGACAGCGACAACAAUUAUUACUGCAGCCAUUACAGAGGAUCUGUCGUCAGCCAUACAGUUACAUACAGACCAUUUGUUCCUUAGUUUUAUUGGCAAAUUAUCUUGUGCUAAAACUAAUAUGUUCUUUGCUUCCAUAUAUAAAUUAUGUGGCUGCUUUUUUCUUUGAAUUUCACCUAAGGAUUUAUAUAUCAUAAACGUUCCAACUCUUAAACAUAUCAAACACACUUAAAGGAAGGAUUUUAAUUCUUUUCUCUCAAAGGAAAUAAUUUUUCUUAUGGAUCCCUCAAAUAGGAACUUUGAACACAAAACCCUUUUAAUAUGUGCUGUACAAAAUAGAAAUGUAAUUGAGGAAUUGUGCGAUUAGUCCGUUGCCACGCUGCACGAGUUGAGCUGUAGUUGCGUUAUCCUUAUCUUGAGGCAUCAAUGUCGUUAAAAGGUUGAUUGAAGCGAUAGCCGUGAGUGGAGUAUUGUGCUCCUGAGCCUGGACUGCGUUGAAAGCCCGAUCAAGAUUUGUAAUAGGAAUAUUGGUAGCCAUCGACUGUCGUCGCUGAGCUCUAGUGGCAUUGCGCGCCCUUCGUUGGUUGCGCUGUUCGGAAGUUUCAUUGUGAGGGGCGUCAGCUGUAGACUCAUCUUCAGAGAUGUAGUCGACUUGUGCUAAUCGCCUGGGUAGUAGCUUCCGGAGCUUGAUGUUGCAAUUUCUGUGUAACUUUCUUCGCGGUUGGAAGUGAGUGGAACACCUUCUUGAAAUGGUAAGUUGUCUAUAUGGGUGACAAGGCGUGAGUCGUAGUCACGGUCGAGAAGAGAUGGUCGCAAUCCCGGGCAGUGGACGAAUCUGCCUUGAGAUGUCGAAGUUAUUACCAACCCUUGGGCUGGACCAGAUAAUGAUAUCUCUGGUGAGUAGGAUGAGUCGGAGUCAACAUCUUCAUGCCCGAGGUCGACUCGGGUUUGAGCAAGAAAACCUUGGUAGACUUUUGUCGCGUUGCGGAGUCCGUGCGGGAACCGCUUUGAAGUCGAAACUGAUUUGGAUGCUGACUGGGGCCGCCGAAUCCAAAGCGAGUCCGACCCUGAGUCCAGGGGUCGGCUGAGCCCAACCCUUUGGAGGAGUAGCUCCGCCUCGCCUGACCCUGAGUGGAAUUCCGCCUUGCCUGACCCCAAGUCCUGGGGUCGGGAGUGCCGGACCCUUUGGAGGAGUAGUUCCACCUCGCCCGACCCCGAGUGUUGGGGUCGGGAGACCCUGACCCCUGAGCGAGACUCCGCCUCACCCGACCCCGAGUCCUGGGGUCGGGAGUGCCUGACCCCCGAGCGAAACGUUGGAGUAGUCCGAGGCGAAGUCAAAUCCGACGCGUAGUCGAACUCGAACUUGUUGACUUUGAAAUCUUGAUUUUUUCUAGUUAGGUUUUCUGGUUUCUUCUCCUGAGUGUCGACGAUCUGGCGCCGGAACGAUCCCGAGCCUUCGGCGACACAGAACAAGGAUCCAAAAACGAAGGUGGCGCCGGCUUCGAUGAAGAAGACGGGCCUGAUGAUGACUUUCACCAUUGAGUUCGCGCUGAGAAACUCGACGAGUCCCCCUACCUGGCGCGCCAGCUGUCGGUGUUUUAGAUCGGCAACCCGCCUAGGGGUACCCUAGGUGGUCUUUUAAGCGGUAAGGGUCGUCGAGAAUGAAGGAAUCAAUGGUGACGCAAGGAACACGAUUUAGACAGGUUCGGGCCGCUAGAUCGCGUAAUACCCUACGUCCUGUGUGUUGGUUUGUAUUGAUCUUGGGGAUUGAUGAAUUGGAGUUGUUCUGAGGGGGGUCCCUGCCCGGCCUUAUAUACGCAGAAGGGCAGGGUUACAAGUCUGAGUCCUAGUCGGGUACUAUUACAGAGUUCUACUCGGUAUUGGCCCGAGUAGUUUUCCAUAAACAUACAAGACUAGUCCGAGAAGGAUACGCCUAUCCUUGUUCUGAUCUUGUCCGAGUACGUCCCUUAGUGGGCCAUCCAAGGCCUACUCGUGGGCUUGGGGAGUAUGCCCGACACGAAGGUAGCAAAUUAAUAUUUCUUUUUUAUAAAUACGCUAUCAUGGAUAUCUAUCAGUGUUAGGAAAAAACGAGUAACAUUAAAAAGAAGUAACCAGUGUUAGAUCAACAUGCAUACUUGGUACUAUGCAACUAUUCAAAUUAAAGUUCUUGCUGUUUCUCAAAACCAGCAAUGAGAUCAAAAUACCAACUGAAGAGAUUUUUCAUCUCCAAAAAGAACAAGUGCAAUCCUAUAUCAUUAAGUAAAGAGUGAAUGCUCACCUAAUAUUGAUAUUUCCCAUACUGGAAAUAUGGGCUCGCAUCCUUUCUCACUUUUACCAUCUCCAUUUAGACCAAAUUUGCAUUUGCACUUGUAACUACCCUGUGUAUCAUGGCAUGUGCUACCACUGUAACAAGGAUAUAAUUUUUCAUACUUCUCAGGAUUUUAUUUCCGAAGAUCGCACUCGUUAAUAUAUAUCUGUGUCAAAGAUAUAUGGGAUAGCCAAAUAUUUAGUUAGGAAAAUUGCAUUUUUGCCGAGCUCGAACACUAAUUGCAAAUAACUUGCCAUUAAAAAACAUAAACAGCAAAUAUAUUGUUGGAAUUAUUGAUGAUAAUCCAUUCCAUUUUGCACAACAUUUUCCAGUGUACUAAAAUGGCAUUUAGGAAAAAUCAACAACAAUAUUAGGGAAAAGCACAGGGACAUGAAGACUAAAACUUUCAUAUCUUUCUUUGUCUUGUAGGCUUGCUCUUGUAGAGCUUUCCAAGUUAGUUAGCUGGAAGCGUUAUAACCAUGCAUUAGCUUUCAUAGGUCCCAUGUCUUCAUGCGUACUACUUAAUAGAAAUGUUAAGGAAAACAUAUUAUGGGGUACGGAACCAAUGACAUCCAAGAACCAACAGAUAAUUGUGGAUCCUUGUUUCAAGUUGCAAAAGAAAAGGCUAAGUAAAAGCAUGAGAGGCUUAUCCUUUGCUGCAGCAAGAAGAACCUAUAUAUGCCCAGAGUGUGAUGGCAUAGGCCUCGAUUUUUGCGGCAAUAUAUCAGGGAAAUUAUAUGUCCUCAUCCAUUUUUAUGUGAUUACUUUUCUAAUUGUAAAUUGGCCUUAACUCCAUGCCCAGAUUGUGGUGGCAUGAGUGGCCAACCUAGGAGACACUGGAUUAAAUACAAUUAAAGCUUCUGAUAAAUACCUGGCGAGCAAGGAAGGGGAAAGGAAAGAUGAAUUUGAUAUGUCAUGGAGCCUUAGUCAUGUCUGCUCGUAUAUUAUGUAAUCUCAUCUUUCGGAUGUUAGGAUGAAUAAGGCUGUGAACCUUAAAUUAGUUAUUAUGUCAUAUUUUUCUGUGUUAUCGGGUGGAACACAUGAUAUGGACUGUGUCUUCUGUGAACCUUCAAAUUUGCACAUUAUCAUGUUGGAAAAUAUUCAUUGUUAUAUUUUUUUUCUUGUGAUUUGCAUUACGCACGUUUUUUUGGUUCCUGUCACUACCUUUUUUACCCAAGUAGCGCACCUGUCAUGCCAAAAAAAAUGUCUAUUUUUUCAACUUUGUCAAGUGUCAAUGGAAAAUGUAGCUAUAUCCUUCUUUUCAAGAAAAAUGUCAAAAGCAUCAGUCACGUGGCAGGCAUCCCGGGUUUGGUCUGAUUUAAGUGGAGGCUAUGCUAUUAUGGUUUUUUAACAAGGUUCACAAGGUUUGAAGAGAAGUCCAAAGAAAAAUUCAAAAAGGAAUAUUGUUUUUGCUACUCAGUUACGCCAUAUAUAUAUCCGUGGUCGUGCAUAUAUAGUGAUUCAUAAAGUUAUAUAUCGCUUAGGUCCUAAGCAUCCAAUGAUUAUGAAUACAGAUACUUAAUGUUUAGUGAUGUCAGUAUGGCAAGACACCUGCAUUACGGCAAUUUAAUGGCCAUAUACCAUUCAAGAAAAGAAUAGUGAACCACCAACAAGUUAUGUCCCUCCAGAAGCAGGAGAAACAUGUUUUGUCCGUUCCAUCUACAGCUAUAUGCUGCCAUGGAUUCUGGGAAGUGCUCAUAUAUGAGGAAGAUCUUUUUAUAGAUUUUGAUUAUAAUGGGUUAUUUGUUUCAACUAGCCAUUAUGAAGAGCGGCUUAGAUCAUCGAUGGUGAACUCUGAGAUGCUGAAAGUUGAGGGUAUAAAAGCUGAAACAAAUAGAGCCUAAGUUUAAUAUGCUACAACGACGGAUGACAUGCAUGGUGCCGUUGCAUAUAUGCUGAGUUUUCCGUAGCUAGCAGAGUGAUCAAUGCAAACGAUUCUUUCGUACUUAAAUUUGACUCACAGCAAAGGGUUAACCAUUUGCCACUUUUUUAAAAAAUAAUUAAACUAGGCAUCCCAUUGAAAUAAACUCACUUGUACAUCCUUUGUCACCGGUGACGUAGGGAUUGCCCAUGUAUCCCUCAGAGCAAUUACAGAGGUACCCAGGCCCCUAUGUGGCAUUGAUACAGAAGCUGUUUCUGCUGACGCAAGCGGGAGCUGUGGGCUUAGCCGACGCCUCACCAUUGUUGGGUGGGGGCAUCGUGCUGAGAUAGGAAACCUAUAUCGUGCUGAGGUUGCCCGAGAUGGGCAUCUGGCAGCAGCCGAGCCCCGUGCACUGGGCGCGCCGUCGGUAGCCGCGCCCUUUAUGCUUUCGCAGUAGGUGACGCAGCCGGUGUAGUAGCUCCUGCUCUGCAGGAGCGCCACCGUGUUGCACUCGAUGGCCGUGAACUUGUUGCUCCUCGCGGAGAUCAUGAACGGAUUGGCAAGUAUCCACGGCCCCGCAUAGGAAGUGAAGAUGCUUGGCGAGUUCAUGUUGUAGCACAUGUACGAUGGGUAGGUAACGACGCGUAUCUCGCCGGUCUCCGGCGAGAUGCUGAUGACCUCGGCGUUACUCAUGUAUAAUCUCGGAGGACUAAAGCUAUUGUUGCAAGUGAGCUUGUACGGACUAAAGCCCGGCCGGCCACAGCCACCGCCGAUGCCAAAAGGAUAGGGAAUAUCUAUGUUGCCGGCAUCGAGGAGUUGGGUGCAGCCGCAACCAGAUGGGAAGUUACUAGGGCAGGAACAAGGAGAUGCCACAGUAGAACUCGAAGAGGCGCCAUGGCUGCUGCUGGAUUAUGGGUGCUUAGAUGCUAACAACUAGACAGUGAAGAUGCUGUAGCAUUAUUAGCUUCAUGAUUUCCUAAGCGGCCGCAUCCAGGGUCAUAUAUAGGCGGGGACGACGACCGGGAUGGAUUGAUGAUAUGAUAAUCAUUUCGUUUCUUAACAUUCUGUGAUGUCAUUAGCCGAUAAUAUAUGCAUUCUGAUGGUCGUUCCUACUUGAACUUAUCUCAUUCGGUAAGUUAUAUAUUGCUCGUCAUAAAUUUAUAAAGAGACAUUUCAAAAUCUCAAGCAUGACGUUCCUAGCUAUAUAUACAAAGACAAAUUCCUUGCUUCCAACUUCAGCCAACUGCGGACUCAUCUCAUUCCUAAUGAUGUCACGACUAUCAGUAAGGUACGUGCAUCUAAUCUUUAUAACAUACCACUUGCCCUGUUAAUAUGUGAUAAUACAGAUCAGCAUCCAACAUGUGUUUUUAAGCAGCUGACAGUAAAGCACUACCCAACAGCCGACAGAACUAAUCAUUUUCACUCCUUCUUGACAGCGUGAAAAGAUUUUUUUUUUAAGUGCGAAUAUUCAAGCUGAGGAAACUAUGAGUAAUUAUUUUCCUUUUGUAUUUAAUUUUUUUUCCUAAGUUCAGCUUGGCCAUGAGAUCUUGUGUAAACUGACAACAGGUUUCCACUCCAACACCUCUAGCCAGGAUUUCAGAAUUUUUGAAAAAUUCUAGACCUGUAUGAAAAUGGAUUUUGAGUAUUUGUACCAUGCAUUUUCAAAGGAUAUGUGCCCACAGAAGAACAGGACACAUAUGGACAAAUUACAAAAAUGAUAGGAAAAAACAUGAAAACUAUGAUGCCUUAAGGACGACCAAAUUGGGGUAAAUGCUAUCCUGGUAUUUUAAGUUCUCCAAGAAGUCGCACUUAGCCAAAUUAUCCGUUUGUUCUCUGCAGUAUUCGCAAGAAUACCAGCAGCAUUAUAUGUUUAUUUCAGCUAUAAUUUUUUUUCUUGCAACUUGUAAGUAAAAGGAUACUGAUUUGUGAAGUCAGCAGAAAUUAUUUGUGGAGCAUUGGUUGACUUUUGGAGCCCACGGCCAGCACGUGGCUAGUUUUUGCCGAGUCUUUUUCGUCUAGUUUGCCGAGUGUUUUUUCAGCACUCGACAAAGAGUUUGUUUGCCGAGUGUCUAGAUUUUGCCGAGUGUUUUUUCAGCACUCGACAAAGAGUUUGUUUUUUCAGCACUCGGCAAACCCCUAGCAUCCAGCAAAUCUACUAUUUCUGGUAGUGCUAGCUAGCAAGUUGUGGAGGGCUGCACUUGGCCAUGUGAUCCUGGAGAAGCCGCACUUGGCCAUGUGAUCCGUUUGUUCUAGAUAGUUUGUUAUCCACACCAUUCAGAAGAUGCCUGCAUUAUUAUGUAUUUAUUUCAUUUUUAACUUUUGUUGCAACUUGUAUUAGAAGACAAUUUUUUAGGUCAACGGAACUUAUUUGUAGAGCAUUGGUUGACUUUUGGAGCACACGUCCUAGCUAGCAAAUUGUCGAUGAUGGUUGUAUAUAUCGAUACCGACUGUCUUGCUUGCUCGUGCACACCAAAUUAAAGGGAAUGAGAUGAGCACAGACAAGAUAUCCUAAAAGAUUUUUGUACAUCCUAAUAAACUAAUUAAAAGGUGGGUAUGUAAAUCAAUUCAAUUAAUCACAGGUGACAUAUAUAUGAUGGUGUCAGUGCCACUCAUACAUUGCUAGCUAGCCGUCACUGGCCAAUACAUCACUAGAUAGCCGUCACCAACACAUAUGUAUAUAUAUGCAUUAUUCAAAAGAAGUAGAAAUUUUCAAAUUUCAACCAGCAAUUAGAUAAUUUCGACUCUAAGUAUGCAUAUGUCAACUGCAUAACAAUUCUGCAUCUUUUCUCUAUCUCUACUAAUACCCAAGAUUUUAGUUGGGGCAGAACUUACCUUGACCUUGGGCCAUGCCGGCCGACUUCAGUUGCCGACUCCAAUCCCGCUUCAUGAGCUUGCCCCCUAAGCUGGGUCUCUUGCCUACCCGGCCUCCCUCUCCCUGCUAUCUCAAGGCUUUGGUUAGGCGUGGCUAGGGUUCUUCGUGCCGUCAGCAUCGGGAGACACAAGCAGAAGUCGGAGGGAUGAGAAGAAAUAGUUUAUUGAUCAUUUGGGCAUAUUGGGCUGCCGGCUAUCACCUAUUGGGAAAUUACUGGGCUGCAACAUACGAUCUUUGAUGGAAUUUUUUAUUUUUUUUAUUUUUUUACGAUUUUGCAUAAAUAAAUAGUUGAACAAAAUAUUUACAGAAAUAGACCUAUGCUGCCACUUGAAACGGCGGCAAAUGUGUACCAACGGUUGAGACGGCGGUAAGGGAAGCUACCGCCGGGUGGAACGGCGGUAGCUCCCCGGAUACCGCUUACCGCCCCUCCCCCAUCCGGCGGGCUGCACAUGGAAUCAGGGGUGCGCGGGCUGAGACACUACCGCCAGCUCAUUCGACGGAAGCAGGCCCCACCAUUUGAAAUGGUGGAAGCGGGAAGCUUCCGCCAAUUGAGGCGGCGGUAGCUCCCCCCAUGUAAAUAGUUGCGCGGCCACCUCGGGCCAGCGCCCGUUUCAUUUGCGCCGGCGCGCGAGAGCCAGAGCGAGAGCUAGCUAGAGCGCUAGCCAGCGAGAGAAGAGGAAGGGAGGGAGGGAGAGAAUAAGGAAGGGACGGAGGGAGGAGGGGAGGGGAGGGGAGGGGAGAUUGAAGGCCUGCUUGUCGCUUCCUUAGAGGUAUUUUUUCUAAUCCCCUAGUUUAGUUGGUUUAGUUAGUGUAGUGGAUAGAUGUAGUAGUUAGUUUAGUAGAUCUGGGACAUAGAAAAAUGUAGGUUAGUUAGUCUAGUGGAUUUGAGACAUACGAAAAUGUGGCUUAGUCAGUUUAGUUGAUUUAGCUGAGGUAUUUAGUUGACUAGUAAAAUUAGUUUCUUGAUUUAUGUACAUCAAUUGCAGAUGAAUAUUAUUUUGCAAUACUAGGGUUCUAUUAUGUACAAGUAUCCAGAAUGUAGUUGUUUCAGGGGUAGUUGGAAUUAUUAGAUUUAGUUAGAAUUUUUGUUGUGUCGUUGGAGUUAACUGAUUUAAGCUAUUGAGAGUAAUUUCUAGUGUUCGUGUCAUUGUCUAUUGGCAAGCAUAUCAGAAUGUUUAUAUUUCCAAGUGCUCUAUGGUCUGGGGAAGGUUAGAUAUGAUCCAGAAGGGGUAGAAUUGAGUGGAUUUUAGUCGUUUUGCAAGUAUUUACUAAGAGCAAGAGAGAGGACUUGGGGAGGCAUAUGCAAGUGUCUUUGUAAGGCUUUUGAUCUUGAUAGACAUCAAGUGGAUCUGUCUGUUAGGACUGUAGUGAGGAGACAAUCUGAUAUAAACUUUUGGGAGUUGAUCCUGCUUGAAGAAAUCUAGAACUACCAGGCUUAUGUAAAUUGUUGCACUAAGUGCGGUUUACCGCUCAUAUUGUAGGUUCAAGUGUUCACGAAGGUUGGGUGUAGCAAUAAGAUGGAAAAAUAAGUCGGAGGUGCUGAAGUUGAAGUUGAGGAAGGUGUGGAGAAAAACAAGUCGGAGGUGCUGAAGUUGAAGUUGAGGAAGGUAUGGAGAGUACUGAUGGGCAAAAUGAAGAAGAUGGUGAAGAUGGAGCAGAAGAGGGGGAUGCAGAGGAUGAAUUGCAACUCGUGAGCCAAACAGGGAGGCUGAUGGGGGGAAGAGAAAGAGGCCAAUGGUGCCAUGGAUGAUGACUCGUUGGAUGAUGAAGAUGCUUACCCUAUAUCGUGAAACUGGUCAACUUAUGACCAUUCCGCCCUACAGGUCAAUGUAGAGGAAAAUAUCCCUUGGGAGUAUAGGGAGAAUGAGGUUUGCUUUGGUGCUUUGUACCCUAGUGGGGAUGAGGUUGAUGAGGAUAUCGCCAUGCUGAUACACACGAGCCUUGGUCUUCCUCAAGUUACAAGUCCUCACCAACUUGGUCGUCGUGUUUGGUUUGGAAUCAGCCGACUACUCUGGACAAAAUUGGCGAUAUCUCCUUCAUACGACAUCGAAACGAGGUGUUCUUUGAUGCGUCGGAAAGAAGACAACAAAACCUUUCGUUUGGUUCAAGUCCUAGCUCCAGAAGUGUCGUGGAUCAUUCUGUGUGACCAUAACAAGGUGCUAUUUCACCAGUUUUGUAUCGUGUUGGGCCUUAAGCCCAAAUUGUGGGUGCCUCCUUCCUAGUCGCCUCCAACCCUAGCUUGCCCCUUUUUGAUAUAAACUCAGUAGCCACCAUCUCAGAAACUUGGGUUUUGUUUAGUUCUAGUUUUCCAUUGAGAAACUGAGAUUGAUUCAUUGUAACUGUGGCGACAAGUCCUUUUAUAGUGAUCUAGGGCCCUGCUCUUGUUCUCCUCGACUGUGUCGAUUAGUCCUUUUGAAUUGAGAGCUUGAACCCAUAUUUAUCUUAGCUUCAGACAUAUUUGCAAUUUCAGAUUGCGUGUUUAUACUUUCUUGCUUGUGUUCUUCGAUUUGCUUGUAGGGAAAGCCUUAUUGGCAAGGUCAAUCGAGUUAUUUUUGGUUGAUAACAAAUGGAGCAGUGGUGUAGCGGUUGCAAGGAUUCAAAUUGUGUCUAAUUAGAAGCCUGGAUCAUCAAUGUCGAGUUCUCCAUCAAUCAAAUUUCCCAUACCUAUCGGAAGAUCGGGCCAGUCUUACAUCAGAGGUGAAGGCAGCUGGGAAGCGAUGGUCCACUUUAUCUUUGCAGCGGUAGUUCAUUGUGGUGAAGAGCAACCUGAUAGUGUAUGAUGUCUGUUGUGUGAGAAGCAAUUGCCCAUUUAGGGUGCACGCAUACAAGGGGAAGUGGAAGGAUUACUGGAAGGUGACUAGAGUGGUUGAGCACCAAUGCUUUCUGGAUGAAUUGGAAGGAACACACUGCAACCUCGUAGCUGAUUUUGUUGCUCAAUACAUGUAUCCUCAGAUAGUGGAGAAUCCCAGCUUCAAGCCCAAGUCGUUUGUUUGUGCCAUAAAGGAGAGUCUCAAGUACAAGAUUAGCUGGAGAUGAAAUGGGGUACGUACGAAGCAUCGUAUCACAACAUCCCUCUCCUGUUGCAAACCAUAUGCUAGAGGAACCCAGGAAGCUACUAUGACCUGAAAGCCUAUCCAUAUGCUUCAUUUUCAGGCAAACAGGUCUUGUAGCGGUCGUUUCUAGCCUUAGGUCCUUGCAUUGAGGCUUUUCAACGAUGUCACCCAGUCAAUUGCAUUGAUGGCACAUUUUUAACUGAAAGGUAUAAAGGCACAAUCUUGAUAGCUAUUGGAUCCGACGGUAACAAUUAGGUGUUGCUGCUGGCGAUCGCCUUUGUGGAGAAGGAGUUUGGAGAUAGUUGGUAUUGGUUCCUGGAGAGGGUGAAGCAGAUGAUUGUAAAGAAUGUGGAGGGUGUUUUUCUAAUUCAUGAUUGGCACAAAAAGGCAUUCUACAAGCAAUAGAAGACCUAUAGAAUGGAAGUGUGGAGCGUUUCAGGAUGUCGAUAUGGCCGGACUUGAAGAGUAGGUGGUGCAUGAGGCAGAUGGGGCAAACUUCCAUAGUCAAUUGAAGAACAAGACCCUUGUGAAAUUGUUCAAGUGGCUAUGCAGCCAGAAUCAGGAGAGGAAAUUCAACCUGUUGUGGAAGAAACUUGAUGACCUUCCAAAGAAACAAUGCGGAGAGCUAGCGAAGAGGGCGGUAAACAGUGAGGCAGACCACCCUGUAUCUCUGGAGGUCGUCGGACAUGAUGGUCCGAAUGCCACGUGAAGACGAGGAAGGUCCAUCAAGAGCUUCUCGUAGUGGAUUGAGCAUGAGCCGAAGGAAAAUUGGGCAUUACUUUAUGAUGAGGGAGGUGCUCGGUGGGGUAUAAUGACUAUGAACCUAGCUGAGGUUUACAACUGGAUCCUAUGUGGUGUUCAGGGAUUUCCCCUUGUUGGUAUCAUGGAAUUCUUCUUGUACUGCACCAUGAAGUACUUCAAGGAAAGGUACACGGUGGCUAAUAACUCAAUGUGCGACAAUCACAAAAUUUAUGGGUACAAGAUGAUAGAGUACAUGGAGGAGGCGAUUAAAAAGGCUCAUAAGCAUCAUGUUAAUGAAGUGGGAGCCAUGGAACAACGGUUCGAGGUUGUUUGCUGGGACAAAGGUUAGAUGGGGGGGGGGGGGGGGAAGGUGCAAGAAGCACAUACAGGAGUGAGUCAUCACCAAUGAAGGGUGUGUUUGCUCUUGCCAAAAGCCAAGGUUGCUGCACAGGCCUUAUACCCAUGUCAUUUGCUGCAUGCAUCGAGGCAGGGGACUUCAGCUUCGUUGGUUUGUGCCACAUUACUUCUUGAAGGAAACUAUAUGGGACACUUGGAGGUACGAGGUUUAUAGAUAUCAUUUACUAGGAAACUUCAUAAACAAUCCAGGUAAUGCCGCGUGCUACAUUCCUGACACUAAUCCAGAAAUGUUCCAAGGGGUCGGGUGAUGCAAGAACAGAUGCAUCUGGAACAAUAUGGAUCAAUCUAAAGCUAGUCCUGAUGUCCGCCUCUGCUCCAAGUGUCAUAGAGCCGGUCACACCUACAAGAACUACCAUGUAAUGACAUAUGGAGGUGGGAGUAGCCAAGCUAGACCAUCAAGCGGUGACUCAAGUGCUGCAUCGUGUAGUCGGGGUCAUCGUGCACGUAGCAACAAUGAUGGGCUUUUGUGAUUCAUGUGUUGUAUGUUUAUGAACUUGUUGUGUUGUAUGUUUGUAAACAUGUUGUGUUGUAUAUUUGUGAAGUCGUUGUGUUGUAGUCGAGAGACUCCUAUAAUGUUAUUCGUGACAUUAGGCGAACCUAAGUUGUAGUAGUAAGAUAUUGUAAUAUUUGCAUAUUGUGUACUAUUUCAUUUAUGUUGCCUUUGCAAUAUCUCAUGUCUAGUGCAUUUUAUUUCAUUUAUGUUUUGCCUUUGUUAUUAUUUCAGGCGUGUACUUAUAUUUUUCAUAUUGCAGGUAUGGCGCAACAGGGUCCAGGGGGGUAUCAGACCCCAGAGUUGCUCAACCCUACCUUGGACGGCCUUCACAGGUCAUUCAUGUCAGCCGUACGGGGUGCGAGCCUCGGCACACUUCGGGCACGUGUCCCACUUGCGACGAUGCUGAUCAACACCUAUUGGAUUUCGAGGUAUGUUGUACUUAGUUAAAUAAAUGGUAAGUUCUAACAUUGUGUUGUUUCAACUAAUAAAUGGUAUGAAUAGUAUAGGUUACGUGCUGUGGGCCUCCUCUCUCUAGCGAGGUUGGUUGAGGGAGACAUGGUCAAUGCCGGAGCGGUGGGGGAGGGGGGGCGAAGAAGUCAACACGCUUCCAGUUCGACAUGUCACUGCUAGCAACUCUUUUGGAACGUUGGUGGCCCAAGAUGCACACAUUCCACCCACAGUGGGUGAGAUGGCCCCGACACUUGAGGACGUCUCCCUCCUACUUGGGCUUCCUUGUGCCGGUAGGGCCUUUUCCGCGGUGGACGUGCCAGUUAGCUAGCAUGAGGAGCUAUUGGCCCGGUUUGCCCACGUUCAGUGGAACAAUCGGGUCGAGCCAUACUGGACUUUCAGCAUGACACACAGGCCCACCAAGAAGUGGCUCAUGCAGUUCGGUGUGAGUACUUAGUUACCUUACUUUUCAUAUCAUUUUCUCUAACUUUUGUGAAUUUGUCAACUAACUUUUAUUGUUGUGCGGGUUGAGUACAUGAGAGAUGACGACACCGACGACGCCACAGUUGUGCAACACUUGGAGGUGUACCUGCUGUGGCUCUUUGAGUGGAUCAUGUUCUACACAUCCUAGGGGAACUCAGUGCCUAAGCACCUACUUCCUUACACGAGGGUGAUAGCGGAGGGCCCGCUUGACAAGGUUCCGCAGUACAACUAGGGUUCAGCUGUAUUGGCGGUGACCUACAGGGGCCUUUGCACGGGCUACUGCAAGGUAGACUCAAUGGAGCCCAUGUUCAUUAACUACCCGUUGCUGCUUCAGCUGUGGUCAUACGAGCGCUUCCCGAUAGGUCGGCCAUGGAUUGACAUGGCCCCCUACCCGGAGCUGCCUUUUGACCACAAUGACGUCGACAGACCCAUGAUGGGGUUGUUGUGGUGCUUGAGGAAGGUACGGUACUACACCUACAAUUACUCAAUUCAUAUGAUGCAUGGUUUCAUGUUUCAAUUAGCGAACCUUUUCGUGAAUUUAUUUUUUGUAGGGAUCAUGAGUUGGGGUGCCGUCAAAGAAGUUGUACCCUGACUUUGUCGGUCAGUUCGACGCUCUUGUCGACACCGACAUGAGGUGGAGACCGUACACCGCAGCCAAGCUACACGCUCAUGCCCCGCAUGGGCUCCCUUCAUCUUCGAGACAUGGAGUAUUGGAUGACGACGAGGCCAGUGGUCUAUGACAUCCACGCCAAGGAGUACGUGGUGCACCAUGUGAUGAGGCAAUUCGGCCGGUACCAGCACUCCCAGUCCCUAUUACUCAUGUCGUCCCAGCCACCGUUCACAGGUACACCCUACCCAAUCAUUCUCCUCGUAAUAAAGAAUUUUCGUUGCUCUAACCCGCAGCACGAUGGUUAUGCUAGGUGGACCUAUUAGGGUUGUGGUGGGCCUGCGACCCUAUGCGGUUCGAGGAUGGUUCUGUGGAUCGAGAUGUGGUCGGCCGCUUUGGAGGAGGUGGUGCAUGAGGACCGUCCACAUGAUGAUGACGCUUUCGUAGUGUACCUGCAGUGGUUCUUACCGGGGACCAGGUCACGGGUCAUGUAUGUUCCGAGGCAGCCACAGACGGAGACAACGCUUGUGACCCAGAUGUACCCGCGUUCAAGGGAUGUCAACUUUGACAUCACGGUAAGCUUCUGCAUCCUUUCUUACUCAAAUUGCAUCAUGUGGUGUGCCUAACUUGAACUUUGUCCUUGCAAAAGUACGAUGUUAUUGCAAAGGUCGAGACUGCCCUGAGGUACAGCAUCGAGCAAGAUUACGACAUGACGUGUAGGGACCACGCGAUGCUGCACAGGAGGGCCUUGGGUUUGUGCAGUAGGUUCAUGAGGGCCGUCAGCUACCGUGGCGGUCGCGCGGAUGUCAUGCUUCCAUCACGGGCUGCCUACCCCUGUUCGGCCUCUCCAGCUCCUACUCAGUAGUUCGGUACAUCUUCUCAGCCACACGUUCAUCCGCCAUACCCUGGUGCCUCAUCUGCACCACAGGUACAUGCACCCACUCUCGGGCCAUUGACUGUCCCACCAGCACCGUGUUGGUAUGCGCCUGCCCCCGGAACAUCAACAAUUCCGCAGUAUGUGACCUCGACAUGUAUGUGUUCAUUACUUUCUCAUUUUUUAUUGACACAAUGUUGUUCAAUUCCUCGUAAUAACUUAUAAUUUCAUAACACAGUCCAGCAGAUGUACAGAGCUUACAGUGGAGCGGGACCAUCUUCAGCUCAACAGGGUAUAGAGCUAUGCCACCUCGGUGCGUCACGAAUACAUGCUUUCUAUUCCAUUUUAGAUACGAAACGAAACUCAUAAUAAUAUUUUUUUGGUUCCAUAACAGCCUACAUAGAUCGCGGAGGGUCCGAUGAUGACUCCAUCAAGGAAGAGAUCCAGAGGUCGAGCUCGGCUUGGGUCGACUCUAUUUUCAGAUACGACCCUGAUGAGCUCGGUGCUUCGCAAUUAGGUGAUGCCCCCAUCCCUCUGACACAGGGAGGCACCCAGGACUUCACGACACCACCUGCAGCCACACCAGGAUGUCCGCCUCACGAGGUUGCCCCACCGGAGCCCUUCAUGUAUGACCAGUACCAGACCAGAGGAGCGCAGCGGGUAGCUAGGCGUGGUCGUGGCCGCGGUGAGCCUCGUUUCAUGCGAGGACGCAUUUAGUGCAUAGGACCUCCUUUAGUGCAUAGGAUCUCCUUUAUCUUUUGUAGGCUAUCAUGUGUACGAUUCUGUAGACUAUGAUUUGUGCUCAUUCACAGACUACUUUAUGUAGGCCACUGUAGGCUAUGAUGUUACCCAAUGUGUGGUGUGUACGUUUUGAUGCUUGCAAUACCAAAUCAUAAAUGAUGCCUUGGCUACUAAAUUGUUAGAGUGUAGAGUACUCCGUAGGCUAUUUAGUCCGACAGCGGAUGUGCUCGCCCUCUCCUCUAUCCUCUCGGCAAAGCAAAGGUGAGCACAACAAAGAUGGGUGCAAAGGAAUCCACCAUACCCUACUUAAGUAGUGACCACAAGAAAGUUGAGUGCCGCAUGCAUCGCAGAUGGCUCGUCUGGUCGAGACCUCACUUAACCCAGGUCAGGCCCCACCUCUCCCAAGUAAGCCGAUGCAGGCUAUGAUGUCCAUGCAUGUCCUUUUCCAUUUGCCAUUAUCGAAAUUGUCCAUAGACCAUCUCAUUAUCGUUCUAUAUAUGAGACGUUCAGCCAAUGUUCAAACACACUACUAACACUACCCAACCCAAAUCCACCGUUUGCAGUGACGUUGCGUCUUCCUCUAAGAAAUGUCAUUGUGGAAGCAGGAGCGAAAUGGGGUUCCACCAUGGAAUGAGCACCCCAAAUGCCACUGUGGCUUCCGUGCAUGGUUGUAAGUAUGGGAGGAUGGCAAACCCAGGGGGAAGAAGGGGUGUAAGUACUUCAAGUGUCCCAACAUUGACGAUGAUUUCGUGGUCAGUCUAUCUGUUUGUAAAUAUUGUACAUACAUUUUCUACAUGUACCGAUCCCUUGAACUAAUAACGAAUGAACAUGCAGGCAUGCACAUUCAUGGAAUGGAUCAGCACUAGGCCUAUAGGGGGGUGCCCGUUUGGCCAGUGGUGCUGGAGACCAAAGCCCAAUACGGAAGGAUGGAAGCAGCUCGAGAUGCAACACGUGCUGCUCGGCUCGAGGAAGAAGAACAUGUCUGCCAACAACAAAUCCAUUUGAAGGGCAAUGAGCAUCAACUACAGAGAUGGUGCGAGCAAUUAGGUUCUCGAGAGGCAGCAUUGAAGUGACAGGAGGAAGAAUUCGAAGGUCGUUAGACACAGCUCGUCCAGGAAGAAGAACGACAGAAGAAGAUGAAGAGGUAGGAGGCAGAAUGUUCCUCCAAAACAUCGAGGAAGGGGAAACUUCCCCAGUUCACCUAGUAGAACAUUACUUGUCCUCCACCAAUUUACAUUACCUAAGGCAUUCUAUCCUAGGGGAGGUGCUCUUUUAGGUUUGUCAUAUUGGGCACCUUGGAUGCCAUUGUACUGUUGCGUGUACUAUUAUAACAUUUCAUCUCCUUGCAUCGAGUACUGAGAUUUCACACUAUUCCCAUUACACUUCUCUGCAGCCAGUACAUGAGGGAUAUAGGUACCUCAUAGGUCCCUGUCAACUAGGAUGCUAACCGGACCUGACAAGUGGGCCUGCUUGAUUAGUGCAUGUGGACCGAGAACACGAAGUUACUUGGAGUGCAUGACAAGGCAACUAGGCAGUCCAAAUCUACUUAGACUUCAUGAGACGCAUAUUGUAAUCCGACUUAGAAUACCUUCCAUGUAAUGCUGAGUAGAUUAGGUUCAAACCGACUUGUAACUCUUGGUCGUCAGGCUAUAUAUGGUGGCCAAGGGCACCCUCCUAGGGCAUCGACUCUCAGACCAUCAAUACAAUCCAUGAAUACUGGAUGUAGGGUAUUGCUCCUCGGAGGCCCAAACCUAUCUAAAAACCCAUGUGUCCCUUUGUGUUCUUGUGAUAACCUUCGAGUUCUUGGUUUCGAAAUCACCCUCACCUACAAAUCAACCACCUAGGUAACCCCCUAGUGGACUGCCGGGCUCAUAACUCUGACAGUACAAUACUCAAACAGUGGUUUCCACUGUUGACCUGAACCCUCACUAAAAAGCCUAGACUAUAGACUGUUGAUGUGAACCCUCACUGAAAAGUUUACACUACAGAGUGUUGACGUGGACUCUCACUAAAAAAUCUACACUAUAGAUUGCAAGAACCUUGAACAUGAAGCGUUCUUAGGAGAAUGGGACUCUACACUUACACCUACGUCCCUAUACCUGCAAAGGCUAUAUGUACCAUUUCUAAGGAUGAUUGAACACGAUGGCAUACUGAGCGCAUGGGGGCGCAGCGCAUCUUCAUCUCAGCACUCCUUAUAUUCAACCCCCCUCUCCCAUAUCCUUCCACGCCACUAAGCAGGAGUAAGAACUAUGGCAUCCACAAGAGGGAGAGGUCGUGAUAGGAGGGGAAGAGGAAGGGGUGCUCCUAUUCCAACCAUUACUUGGCAAGGUUCUUUUAGCCCAAUGGAGUAUGAGGCACCCCUUGACAAGUUCCCUCUGGAGGACAGGGCUAACUACGCCCCACCUAACUCCCUUAGGCCUUAUGACGACCGCCAGGAUGCGUGGCCAAUGUGUCACCAUGGCGUGGCUUGUGUCAUCUAGCUCUAUGACGACUAUGGUGAUGGAAGCCGCCAUUUCUUUCAAUGCCCGUAUAGGUUGGUAAGUCAAGUUAUUACUUCAUUACUCUUCCUAAGCUUCUCAUGCUACAAAGUAACAUCACGUUCAGACCUACCUCGAUGAAGGAAAUUGCGCUAUGCCAAGUGGGUCGAUCCACCACUUCCUGAGCCAACCUAGGAGUAUAUACACUACCUGAAGUGCAAGAUCUUUGAUCUGGAGUGUAAGGUCGAGGAUCUUCAAUCUGAAGUUGACGCGAAUCCUUGGGUGGUUGACAUCGCAGGUGACUUGAUUUGUACCGAUCCAUGGUGCAAGUGGCCCUACCACCACAACAAGGAUCGCCCUACGUCUCCGCCAUCGUCUGGUGGUGCUAGCUACUAUGGAGCUGGGUCGUUGCAGUCCUCGCAAAGCCAAUUCUUCUAGAAAGUAGACAUGGCUCUUUUUCCAGCUAUUUCAAUUACCUAAGGCAUGCUAGGUUUAGCAACGGUACUAGUUUAGGAUAGUAUCCGUGCCGCACAUGCCACUAUAAUCUAUAAUUAGUUGUUCACCCUAGAGUCGGUGUUGUUCGUAUGUUGUGCACGAAUUUCAUUUUUAUCCAUUGUAAUCUCGCUGGAAACAACUACGUAUCUAAUGGUAGGGAGUUAAAUUAUUUUCAAUUUUUUGGUUCGAUCACUCUACCUCUCUCAAAUUACGAAGUUACACAUUGCAAUGAAACUACAUAUUUCACUUUUAAAAAUAUCAUACAAAAUUACAUGAAAAAUAACUAAUUAAAAUUAAAACAGAGUUAUAGCCUGUUGAAACGGUUCUAUAGCAUCCUAAACCUAGCUAAACCAAGCUGUAUGACCUUCUCGGUAGCCCAGCUACCGCCGUACGAAACGGUGGUAACAGGCUACUUCCGUUUCACAUGGCAGGAGGUGGGUGUGCACCGCUCCGGGCCUCCUACCGCCGUUUCAACUGGUGGUAGCGGAGUUACCGUCGUUUCAUCUGGCGGAAUAGGUCUAUUUCUGCAAAUUUUUUGUUCGACUAUUUAUUUCUACAAAAUCGUAAAAAAAUAUAAAAAUAAAGUUGUUCAAGUUCUAAACAGUUCUCGGUCAGAUCAUGCAUGUGUCUUGGGCUCAAAGUUCAUGCUUCUCUACUUGCUCCACCUGAUAAAGAGGAGUGCAAGAUCGAUGUUUGCCGCAUGAGACUUGGCUCAGCUCCCUGGACCCUGAUCAGCUGUAAAGACUUAGCAUUCUGACGCUGAUCCAUCCAUGCAUUUUUAUUUUUUUUUUGGUCACAAGAAGCACAAGAAGAACAGAGCGUACAGAUACGCCAAACCAUUCAGGCACGUACACAAAUGCUCCGAAGCACUAGUGUGCCAGUAUAGGCUCACAAGUCAUACACAAAGUUAUACGAGGUGUAAGAAAGCUUCUCCUAAAUAAAAAGGACAGCACUGCAAGAGUUCAAGCGCACAUAGCAAUGUCGGACUAAAUGGAAGUUUAGACAAUGAUUCCAAGGUAAUACAGACUUGGGCCGUGCUAUUUUCAGGCCCAUCAAUCUCUAAGUGCACUGCCAGUAUAUAUUUGUUAGAACCGACUAUUCUAGAUAUUAUACCAAUCUAUUGCAUUGCAUGUGAGGGACGAACUAAUUGUUUCUUGUACAUUAUUGCACCUUCCAUUUUGCAAACGGUUGAAGGUACCCUUCCAUGAUGGUUGUAUCGAUACAGACUGUCUUGCUUGCUUGUGCACACCAAAUUAAAGGGAAUGAGAUGAGCACAGACAAGAUAUCCUAAAAGAUUUUUGUACAUCCUAAUAAACUAAUUAAGAAGUGCGUAUGCAAAUCAAUUCAAUUAAUCACAGGUGAUAUAUAUAUAUAUAUAUAUAUAUAUAUAUAUAUAUAGGAUUAUACUAUACAAUACCCUGGGUACGGAAUAAUAUUCCGUACCCGAGCUCAUCCACCGAUGCACCAUCCCCCGCUGGUUUUUUUUUCUCUCCCCGCUCCUCCGUUUUUUUCUGUGUUUUUUUUUCCCGAUCGUGGGUCUUCCGUCGUGGGAGGUCCCUUCUGUUGGGAUACGAGGUAGGCUACGCUAGCGCAAAUCAAAAUUUCUACCGCGUAUAACCAGGAAGAACUGCCGUAUAAGGAUCACGGGAUUACCACUCGACGCACUACUGGUGCGGAAGAUGUAGAUAUGCGUCGGUGCAGAGAAGACGAUCACGUAGUCGUACGUAGUCGAUCAACGUAGUCGUACGUAGUCGAUCACGUCCAGCAGCUCCUCAGCAGCUCGUCCACGUGCACAGCAAGAUCGCCUCCGAUGCCGCGGCUCGUCGUCGGCUCGUCGUGGCUCGUCGGCGGCUCGUCGAUGGCUCAUCCAAGUGCUGCAGGCGCAACACUUCCAAGGUAUCCACACGUGCAGGGAGGAAGCGUCGCAAGCCGGACUGCUAGAUCCGCGAGUUGCAACAGGCGAGGGCGUGGGAGGCGCGGCAAGUCUGUUCAGCCAAAAGGUGUAAAACCCUAGGGCGCCCCCACCUUUCUAUUUAUAGGGGUUCCUGAUGGGCCUCUGGAUCCGAGGCCCAUUAGUACUCCUAAACCUAAUCCAACUCGGAUCAGAUCCGAAUUGGGCUUCCAGCCCCUUAAGUGUGUGACCCUAUGGGUUCGGAUACGUAUAGACAUGGCCCGAGUACUCCUACUCGGCCCAAUAGUCGGUAGCGGCCUCUAGCAAGACGUGCCAACUCCUAUACGCAUACGAAGAUCAUAUCAGACGAACCAUCACAACAUAAUAUACAUGCUAUUCCCUUUGCCUCACGAUAUUUGGUCUAGCUUCAAGCCGACUGCUCUUUCUCGAUCCUGUGAUUCGGAAUCCCUUUGUAGGUUAACUCUUAACCGUACGUAGCAUGGCCAUGCAUUUUCUGAUCCGAUCACUCGAGGGGCCCAGAGAUAUCACUCUCAAUCAGAGAGGGGCAAAUCCCAUCUUGAUUGACCAUGUCUCAUAGCAUGCUUCUUGACAAACCCGAAAGCUACCUUUAUAACUACCCUGUUACGGCGUAGCGUUUGAUAGCCCCUAAGUAGGUCAAUCCACAUUUAGAAUACAUGCGACAAUCUCAGGUCUAAGGACAAAGCGUAUAUGUUGUUUAAAGAGAGAACUACUUCUCGUGUUGGGUCAGUCCUAACACAUGUCUCCACAUGUGUCCACAUUAUUAGUUCAACAACUCCAUGUCCAUGACUUGUGAAACAUAGUCAUCAACUAAUACAUGUGCUAGUCUAAUAUUCAUGUGUGUCCUCACAUGAACUCCGACUAGGGACAACUUUAGAAUAACCAUACAAGUAAAGAGUUUUCACAUACAAUUCACAUAAUUGCAAAUCAAUUCAAGUAGCCUUUAAUGGAUAUUCAAUGAACACAAUAUACAAAUCAUGGAUACAAAUGGAAUAUCAUCAUCUCUAUGAUUGCCUCUAGGGCAUACCUCCAACAGUCUCCCACUUGCACUAGAGUCAAUCUAGAAGGUACCUAAUGCCCAUAGCUCUUACAUGCGCAUCAUGCUUAGCCUGCGGGAGUGGUUUUGUCAACGGAUCAGAAAUGUUCAGAUCCGUGUGUAUUUUGCAUAUCUUGAUCUCACCCUGGUUAACGAAGUCUCGAAUGAGAUGAAAUCGCCGCAUUACGUGUUUGUUCUUCUGGUGGUUCCUUGGCUCCUUUGCUUGCGCAAUUGCCCCAUUGUUAUCACAGUAGAGAUUCAAUGGGCUGGACGCAUUCGGGAACACACCCAGCUCAAUGAGGAAAUUCCUUAUCCAAACACCUUCCUUCGCGGCUUCCGAAGCCGCGAUGUACUCGGCUUCUGUCGUAGAAUCGGCCACCGUCUCCUGCUUGGAACUCUUCCAACUAACAGCACCACCAUUUAGCGUGAACACAAAUCCUGAUUGUGACUUUGAAUCAUCUCUAUCGGUUUGGAAACUAGCAUCGGUGUAACCUGUUACAACGAGCUCCUCCUGACCUCCAUAGACGAGGAACAUAUCUUUAGUCCUUCUCAAGUACUUAAGAAUGUUUUUCACCGCUGUCCAGUGACUCUCAUCUGGAUCAGAUUGGUGUCUGCUUGUCAUACUUAGCGCAUAUGAAACAUCUGGGCGAGUACUUAUCAUUGCAUACAUGAUAGAUCCAAUAGCCGAGGCAUAUGGCACUCUACUCAUGCGAUCCCGCUCAUCAGCAGUCGAAGGACACUGAGUCUUGCUGAGAUGUAUGCCAUGUGACAUAGGCAAGAACCCUUUCUUUGCCUCUUCCAUGCUGAACCGCUUCAACACUUUGUCAAUGUAAGUAUCUUGUCUUAAACCUAUAAGCCUUCUCGAUCUAUCUCUAUAGAUCUUAAUGCCCAGAAUAUAUGCCGCUUCCCCUAAGUCCUUCAUCGAAAAACUAUUUUUCAGUGAAGUCUUUACGGACUCAAGCAUAGGAAUAUUAUUUCCAAUCAGUAAUAUGUCAUCCACAUAUAAGAUUAGAAAUACUACAGAGCUCCCACUAACCUUCUUGUAAACACAAGACUCUUCUUCGUUCUUGGUGAAGUCAAACCCUUUGACUACUUCAUCAAAACGAAUGUUCCAACUCCUAGAUGCUUGCUUCAAUCCAUAAAUGGAUCUCUGAAGCUUGCAUACCUUUCCAGCAUUUUUCGGAUCGACAAAACCCUCGGGCUGUAUCAUAUACACGUCCUCAGCUAGGUUUCCAUUCAGGAAAGCUGUCUUGACAUCCAUCUGCCAUAUCUCAUAAUCGAAAUAUGCAGCUAUAGCUAGAAUAAUCCGAAUGGACUUAAGCAUCACUACGGGCGAGAAGGUCUCAUCGUAGUCAACUCCUUGAACUUGUCGAAAACCUUUUGCGACAAGUCGUGCUUUAUAGAUGUGAACAUUUCCAUCCAUGUCCUUUUUCUUCUUAUAGAUCCACUUGCACUCUAUGGCUUUAACACCAUCAGGCGGGUCAACCAAGUUCCAAACUUGAUUGUCUCCCAUGGACUCUAUUUCGGAUUGCAUGGCACUCUGCCAUUUUUCGGAGUCUGGGUCCAUCAUUGCUUCUGCAUAUGUCGCAGGCUCAUCAUUGUCCAACAAUAAUAUUUCCCGCAUUUCGCGGAGCCUUGUCGACCUUCGUGGUUGUGGCUGUGCUUCUCUUGCCAUGGGUAUCUCAACUUGUUCUGCUACGUUAGCAUCACUCAUUGAUUCUUGCCCGAUUGGCUCAUCUUGAACUUCUUCAAGAUGCACUGUCUUUCCACUCUUUUCUCCUUUGAGAAACUCUUUCUCUAGGAAAACCCCAUUCCGAGCGACAAACACUUUGCCUUCUGAUCGGUUGUAGAAAUAAUAUCCCAAAGUUUCCUUUGGAUAUCCCACGAAAAUGCACUUAUCCGACUUGGGUGUGAUCUUGUCCGACUGAAGUCGCUUGACAAACACUUCACAUCCCCAAAUCUUUAGAAAAGACAAACUAGGAACCUUUCCAGUCCACAUCUCAUAUGGUGUCUUAACCACGGAUUUAGAUGGUACCCUAUUAAGUGUGAAAGCUGCUGUUUCUAGAGUGUAUCCCCAAAAUGACAACGGUAGGUCCGACUGGCUCAUCAUUGAUCGAACCAUGUCUAACAAAGUUCGAUUACGUCGCUCGGACACACCAUUUCUCUGAGGUGUUCCAGGCGGCAUAAGUUGUGGAACAAUUCCGCAACUCUUUAGAUGAUUGCUAAACUCGUGGCUCAAAUACUCGCCUCCACGAUCAGAUCGUAAGGCCUUAAUUUUCUUGCCACGCUGAUUUUCAACUUCAUUCUGAAAUUCCUUGAACUUUUCAAAGGUUUCAGACUUGUGCCUCAUCAAGUAGACAUAGCCGUAUCUACUAAAAUCAUCAGUGAAAGUUAUGAAGUAUUGGAAUCCUCCUCUAGCCGUCGUGCUCAUUGGUCCGCAUACAUCACUAUGUAUGAGUUCCAACAAGUCUACUGCUCUCUCAGGAAAUCCUGUGAAAGGCGUCUUGGUCAUCUUGCCUAGCAAGCAAGCCUCGCAUGUCUCGUAUGAUUCAAAAUCAAACGAAGUUAGAAGUCCAUCAGAAUGGAGCUUCUUCAUGCGCUUAUCACUUAUAUGACCCAAACGACAAUGCCACAAGUAGGUAGGACUCAAAUCAUUAGGCCGAGGCCUUUUAGCACUUACAUUACAGACAAGUGAACCAUCAAGAUUUAAAACAAACAAUCCAUUCACAAUGGGUGCAAAAGCCAUAAACAUAUUAUUCUUAGAGAUCACACAACCAUUGUUUUCACUCGCAAAUGAAUAACCAUCCUUCAUCAAACAUGAAGGAGAUAAAAUGUUUCGACUUAAACUAGGAACAAAAUAACAAUUAUUCAACUCCAUAAUAAAUCCUGACGGGAGGUGGAGUUGCAUCGUCCCGACGGUCAAAGCAGCAACUCUUGCAUUAUUGCCCACGCGGAAAUCAACUUCUCCUCUUUCCACGCUUCUACUUCUUAUCAUUCCCUGCAUCGAAUUGCAAAUAUGAGCAACCGAUCCGGUAUCAAAUACCCAAGAAUUAAUAACUGUAUCAGCGAGAAAUAUGUUGUCUAUAACAUAAACAACAAGCGUACCUGAGGUAGAAGUACUCUUACUUCCGCCGUUCUUCAAGGAAGCUAGGUACUGCUUGCAGUUUCUCUUCCAGUGACCAAGUUCAUGACAGUAAAAGCACUCUUUAUCUGGAGCAGGUCCAGAUCCAGCUUUAACCUUGGGCGGUGGGUUUGGCUUGGACGUUCCAGCCUUGCCCUUCUUCUUCCAAGAAUUGCCCUUCUUCUUAAAGCUGGGCUUGUUCUGUAUCGCCAUCACAUGGCUGGUACUAGCGCUUUUCUUUAUGUCAGCCUCUGCUGUCUUGAGCAUACCACACAGCUCAUUCAGACCCUUCUCCGUCCCAUGCAUAUGGUAGUUCGAGAUGAAGUUCCCAUAGCUAGCCGGAAGAGAUGAAAGAAUGAAAUCAGUGGCCAACUCUUGGCCCAGUGGGAAGCCUAGCUUUUCCAACCGUUGAGUGUAACCAACCAUCUUGAUUACGUGUGGUCCUACCGCUGCGCCUUCUGCUAGCUUGCUCUCAACAAAGGCCUUAGACACAUUGAACCUUUCAGUCCUGGCCUGUGUUUGGAACAUGUCUCUAAGCGCCACGAUCAUAUCGUGCGCCUCAUGGUUUGUUUCGAACUGCAUCUGCAGCUCGGGUUCCAUGCAAGCAAGCAUAAGGCAGCUUACUUCGAGGUUAGCAUCACAUGCUUUCUUGUAAGCAUUCUUAGCAGCAGCGGGUGCAUCCUCAGCAGGUUCUUCUGGUAGUGGGUUGUCUAGAACAUCUUCCUUUUCUCAGCCCUGAGAACAAUUCUCAGGUUGCGGAUCCAAUCCGAGUAGUUUGUUCCAUUCAACUUGUCCUUCUCAAGGACCGAACGCAAAGCAAACGAUGUGGUGGUGUUGCUAGGUGCCAUUUAAUCUACAACAAAAGUAAUGCAAAAUACACUAAGACAAACGUAUCCAUGAUAGAGCAAAUUACAUUAAACUAUUUUAACAGAAUCUACUCCCACUAAAAUCAAUAUCCCUCUAUUGAAACUUAGUGAUUCAGGAUCCACAACUAACAAGUCUACUAGUGAGCUUUAGCAUCACCGCUAGCAAACGAGGUAGAUCGGUAAGCAACUUUUGCUAAUCAUAUCACAUAUGACUCCUGUUGUUGGGUGACAUCUCCAUGUCUCGGCGCCCAACCUUUAUGCCCCAAGGUCCUUAACCGUUAAGAUGACCUUGUUAAGCAAACCAACCCUUAUGCGUGUAAGUGUCCGACACAAACCCGUCUAGUCAAGGAAAACUAGUGGCACCCUAAUUUCAUAGACCCACCACUAAUUGUACAAGACAUGGGACGGUGCAAGUUUUAGUUGGGAGGGCAUACUAACUUAAACUUUGCAAGGGAUCGUUCUACUUCUAACAUCACAGCAUGCAGAAAGUAAAACAUAAAACAGAAUAGCAUUCACACAGUUGUGACACAGUAUGGCCCGUUUUUCAUAUGGUGAUCUCCAUCUCCAUAGAACCUGUUCACCAUGGUGAUCUCCAUCUCCAUGUUCCAUGUGCGCCAUCCUCCUGGUGAUGAGUCCUCCAAGAACUAGAGUAUGCUAUUACACCUAAUAGCUAGUAAAGAAUCUAGUAAUGAAGAUUACAUAGUUGCUUGGAUCAUCACAGAUUGGUACGCAGACCAUUAAAUACAAUAAAGUGACAACACAUAUGGCUCCUGCCUUGUUGCCGUACGCGCGACACGCAGGUCACGAAUGAGUUACACACAUGCAUCACAUACACAAGGGGCCAUACUGAUCACAAGAUACAUACAUCCUGCAAAAGAGAGUUAGGCGUCCUAACGUUCCAAACUUCGGAGGCCCGAAACUCCAUCUUCCAAGCCGAAUUUGGGAAAUCUAAUUUCGCCGAAAACGGCGAAGCGGUUGAAUUUCAUGUGUAACUUUUUCUAUAGAUCAAUUUUCGUAUAGAAAUCGCCCCGAUCCGAGAUCGUACCGAAAAGUUACGGCUGAUUUACCGAAGCAUGCGCAUACGGCAAAAUCCCGACCCCGGCAGUAGAUCACAUCUACUAUUGCACAUCUAAUGCGCCUGGCGUAUGACCCUGGAUCUCGAUUUGACCAAUCAUAUUGAUCUUCCCUCACUGCAACUGGAUUUACGUGUAUCACUUAACUCCGAUGGCGGAAACCGACCGGUAGGAGUAUGUCGUUACACUACCAUUGCAGCAAGGGCACGAAAUCAGGACAUAGAUCAAACAAAGAACUCGCAUAUCUCCAUAUGCACACAUCCCGAAUCCAAAACUAAGCAGCUACGGCUCUGAUACCACUGUUGGGAUACGAGGUAGGCUACGCUAGCGCAAAUCAAAAUUUCUACCGCGUAUAACCAGGAAGAACUGCCGUAUAAGGAUCACGGGAUUACCACUCGACGCACUACUGGUGCGGAAGAUGUAGAUAUGCGUCGGUGCAGAGAAGACGAUCACGUAGUCGUACGUAGUCGAUCAACGUAGUCGUACGUAGUCGAUCACGUCCAGCAGCUCCUCAGCAGCUCGUCCACGUGCACAGCAAGAUCGCCUCCGGUGCCGCGGCUCGUCGUCGGCUCGUCGUGGCUCGUCGGCGGCUCAUCGAUGGCUCGUCCAAGUGCUGCAGGCGCAACACCUCCAAGGUAUCCACACGUGCAGGGAGGAAGCGUCGCAAGCCGGACUGCUAGAUCCGCGAGUUGCAACAGGCGAGGGCGUAGGAGGCGCGGCAAGUCUGUUCAGCCAAAAGGUGUAAAACCCUAGGGCGCCCCCACCCCUCUAUUUAUAGGGGUUCCUGAUGGGCCUCUGGAUCCGAGGCCCAUUAGUACUCCUAAACCUAAUCCAACUCGGACCAGAUCCGAAUUAGGCUUCCAGCCCCUUAAGUGUGUGACCCUAUGGGUUCGGAUACGUAUAGACAUGGCCCGAGUACUCCUACUCGGCCCAAUAGUCGGUAGCGGCCUCUAGCAAGACGUGCCAACUCCUAUACGCAUACGAAGAUCAUAUCAGACGAACCAUCACAACAUAAUAUACAUGCUAUUCCCUUUGCCUCACGAUAUUUGGUCUAGCUUCAAGCCGACCACUCUUUCUUGAUCCUGUGAUUCGGAAUCCCUUUGUAGGUUAACUCUUAACCGUACGUAGCAUGGCCAUGCAUUUUCUGAUCCGAUCACUCGAGGGGCCCAGAGAUAUCACUCUCAAUCAGAGAGGGGCAAAUCCCAUCUUGAUUGACCAUGUCUCAUAGCAUGCUUCUUGACAAACCCGAAAGCUACCUUUAUAACUACCCUGUUACGGCGUAGCGUUUGAUAGCCCCUAAGUAGGUCAAUCCACAUUUAGAAUACAUGCGACAAUCUCAGGUCUAAGGACAAAGCGUAUAUGUUGUUUAAAGAGAGAACUACUUCUCGUGUUGGGUCAGUCCUAACACAUGUCUCCACAUGUGUCCACAUUAUUAGUUCAACAACUCCAUGUCCAUGACUUGUGAAACAUAGUCAUCAACUAAUACAUGUGCUAGUCUAAUAUUCAUGUGUGUCCUCACAUGAACUCCGACUAGGGACAACUUUAGAAUAACCAUACAAGUAAAGAGUUUUCACAUACAAUUCACAUAAUUGCAAAUCAAUUCAAGUAGCCUUUAAUGGAUAUUCAAUGAACACAAUAUACAAAUCAUGGAUACAAAUGGAAUAUCAUCAUCUCUAUGAUUGCCUCUAGGGCAUACCUCCAACACCUUCAGUUCCCAUCCCGUUCUCCUGCUGCUCUCCCUUCGCUCACGCCACAGCUCGCCAACUACCGCCGCCGGCGCAUGCCGGUGCUUUUUCCGCUCCAGUUCCUUAUUCCGUUCUCGCUGCCGCCCGCCUUCCGCAGCCGCCGCCGCCACUCCCCAUCCGUAGCCGUCGCCGCCAGUCGCCAUUCGCUUCCGCCUCCGCCACUCGCCAACCGCAUUCGCCGCCGCCCGCCUUCCGCAACCGCUGCUGCCACUCCCCAUCCGUAGCCUCCACCGCCAAUCACCACUCGCCAUCCGCAUCCGCCGCCGCCGCUCGCCCGCAGCUGCCGCACCGCUCCUCUCCUCCUCUGCAUCGAUGCUGCGCCGUCCCUCGCGUCGAUCCCGUGCCGCCUCUCUCCUCCGCAUCGACGCCUCGCGCCCCUCGCGUCGAAACCUCGCCGCCCCUCUCCUCCUCCGCAUCGACGCCGCACCGCCCCUCACGUCGACCCCGCGGCGCCCCUCUCCUCCUCCGCAUCGACGCCGUGCCGGACGCCGCAAUAGCCCGCCAGAGCUAGGUUCGAUCCCCUCGACCGCCCGAUGCCGCCGAUGAGCUCACGCCUAGCUGGUGGUGGUAUUAGGUGAAAUGCCGUGACUUCGUCAACCGUGCUACUGGCUUGCGCACAUGCUGGGGCAAUACAGACUGGAAAGCGUAUUCAUAAUCAGGUGAAUUACUUAUAUAUAUAUCCGCUAUUUGGUACCCAAGGUACCGAAUACUUAUUCGGUACCCGAGCACCAUCUCCGCGCCCGUCCGAGCGCUCCUCCCGACUCCCGCAACCAAGCCUCCAUCGCACGCGCUUCAGGGUCCGGUUUUUUUUUUUACGGUUGAGUGAAUCCAGGAACCGGACUGUCCACCACGCACGCCAUCGUUUAGAAAAGCGCAGCAGCAGUUGUGAGUUCCGACGUCGACGCGGCGUCACCGCCACCGCUGUUCCGUCGCCAGUUUCCCGCAACAGCUCGCCGAAUCGGAGCCUCCGCGCCAGGCGAUGUAUCAGGUCUACGCCGUAGGUAGAGCGGAUGCCGCCGCCGCCGUUUCUCUCAGAUCGGCACGAAGGUUGACCUUGCAUGUCUCCAGCCAUGGUAGCUUCAGCGCAUAUAGAAUCGGAGCCAUUUUUAUCUGCAAGAUCAACCUGAUACUGGGAGAUUGAAACCAUUGCUUUUUCAGGUCCUUGGAAAGGAGAAUGUUUAGAUUGAACUGUUGAAAUUGUCGUGUUUCCAUAAUCAAAAUGUUUGUUCAUCAUAUCGAGUCUUAAGCUCCAAUUUAUCUUUUUUUAUUAAUUGAAAUGAGAGCUAGUACAGCAAAUAUUCAAUGACUGGGUGAUCUUUACAUUCGUGAUAAAUCUGGCAAUACAAAUUGGCGACUAGGUAUCUCAAUUUCAUGACACAGGAAAUUUUGCAAUAGACGGAGCAGCCAGGUGUCCCAAGAAUACUAAUUGGUUAAUGAAUCUUUGUUCUCUGUCCUCUCCGUGACCAAUGUCAUCUGCCUCGUAGUCACUUUGCUUGUGACCUACUUGUACACAAACAGACUGAAAUCGGACCGUGAAAACAACAUAUUGAAACAUGUUGCAUCUAAACAAUACUACAACUUUUUAUGCAUUGCACUACAAAUUCCUGGUGUCUUAAUCAGAAGCAGACCGUAGUGAGCUCAUUGCAAUCUCUGUUAGUGUAUUCGUUCCUGAAGUUUGCUUGUGACCUCGUUGUACUCACUGCCGACCGAGCCUGCAAUAGAAUAACAAAAGGUUGCGUAUAACAAUGUCACAUGUGGAUAGAAAAGCUUCUAUGAAUGUGUAAUUGUAAAUAAUGAAAUAUAGGUGCAGAAACCUUGCUACAUUCCAAUUGAAGUGAGUGAAUCCUUGAAAAUGAAAUAACCUCACCACAAGUGGUGUCAUGUCUGACUCUGAGAAUAAAAAUUCAAUUAUAUGCAAUGUAGUAUAACCUCAUCAUCUUCCAAAUGAAGAAUGGACCAUAAAUUAUAUAUCACUGGAACUAAAUCAAGAAUCAAGAUAGGUUCCUUGUGGCAAAUAGUGGCAUAUUAUGUAAAAGUCUUGCUGUCUUCCAAAAUGAAGCGACUGAACCAUAAGACCUAAGUUGUUUGCAACCAAACUGGCCUGACCAUAAAUAGUAUGAUGUGUGACCAGAAAACUUUAAUUACACGCAGUCUUGGUUUCUCGUUCCAAGUUAGAUGUACAUGCUAAAGCUUCACUGUCUUCCAUAUAAAAUGGAUUAACCAUAAAAGUCAUUUUGGAACCAAAGUAGCCUGAAGGCAAGUAAUGUCAUAUGCAAACACACAAAAAAUAGAUUUUAUGUAAUCUGGCAUUGAUUUAGUUUUUCUUAUUGCAAAUAAUGAUGUAUUUGAAUGCAAAUAUCUCUUCACACGCAGACCAUGUUAGAAUGAAACUAGUGAACAGAAGUCGGAUUGCAAAUAAUGUUGUGUUAGCACACAAAAAAUUCAAUGAUAUGUAAAAUUAUGCAAGUAUUUUCUAACUCGAAUACAACAAUCCAUGGCACUCAGUUAAUCUCAAAUUGUUAUCAUAGAAAGGCAUACUAGUUUACUAGCAUACAAUAUAAAAAAAACUUAGUCUUCAAUUAGAACACCCAACAGUUCCUAGGACUUUUCUCCUACCGCCAGGAUUGAGAAACUGUAUAGAUUGACUUAGGGGAUGUUUGACUUAGGGGAUGUUUGGAUCUUUAGUCCUGACUAAAAUUCAUGUCACAUCGGAUAUUCGGAAGCUAAUUAGGAGGACUAAACAUGAGCUAAUUAUAAAACUAAUUACACAGAUGGAGGCUAAUUCAAGAGACGAAUCUAUUAAGCCUAAUUAAUCAAUCAUUAGCACAUAUUUACUGUAGCAUCACAUUGUCAAAUCAUGGACUAAUUAGGCUUAAUAGAUUCGUCUCGCAAUUAGUCUCCAUCUGUACAACUGGUUUUGUAAUUAGUCUAUGUUUAAUACUCCUAAUUAGUAUCUAAAUAUUCGAUGUGACAGAAAGUUUAGGAGGUGCUAAAGAAACAAACACCCCCUUAUUAUUAAGAGUAGUGCCAACCAAAUCGAACAAAGCAACAGAGAUUAUUGGAUGCCAUCUCACUGCAAGGUGUCCUAACUCCUAAGCAAACAAUUUAUAAGCUGUAAAAUCCAGGAACCUUAAAUCUGUAACAUCGGCUACCACAUACAUAGAUAUAUCAAUAUUGAAAGGCAUACCUAAAGUUCAAUACGUGCAAUUUAAGAAUACUGGAUACUUACAGGAUUCCAGAAAAUUAAUUAACGGCUAGUUCAUAUAACAACUACGACAACUACGGAAGUGGCACUCUACUACAUAACUUUAACUAGUAAUCAAUUUAAAAAAUAUGUAUAUUAAUAUCAAGAAGAAAGACUUUGCAGGACCCAUCUCAUGCAAGAGCUAAAACAAAAUGAAUGGGAGUUGAAGAAUAGAAUGGGCCGGGGAAAAUGGGUAACCCCAGAUCAAAGCUGCAGGCAGGAACCUAAUCUCAGCACAUGGAAGUUUCACGGGAAGAUGGUCCUGACGCUCAACACCUGCACAAAGGAUGCUCCAAAGGUUGUGUUUGGGUUGGAGCCAGCAGAGGUUGAGGAAUUCACAUCACAAUGUUGGCGUUCUGCUCGCCGCCUACAGCUUGACAGUAAGAAUGGGCUCGGCAGCAGGACCCAUCCUGUCAUCUCUGGAAAAAUAGCAACCCACAACACAGGGGCUAAAAAAAGAUGCCACUCGGGCAUACCAUAAUCAUUUCAGAUUAAAAAAAAGGCAUAUUGAUCAGGCAAGCUCAUGAACCACAAUGUUUUCAAGUGCAAAGCUUCAAAAACAUCUGGAAUGAUUAACAAAGUAUAUUGAUCCAAAUAUAUUAACUCAUAUCAGGUGAUCAAACCAAGCCUACACCUAGCAGCAAAUUUGGAUUGGCAAAUCAGCUCAGCAUCUCUUGGAUGAAAUGAAUGCAUAUCAGCCAGUAGGAAGCAUGCACAUCUGAACAUUUUACAUCACUGAAUGAAAACAAGUUGCAUAUCUGAAUUUUGAACAGGAACUCAUCUAGACAUAUUCACAAAUAAGUCUCAUCAAUUUGUUUAUAAGAGAAAAGGGGAAAUUAAUAAAGCUCUAGUUAUCUGAAUAGGAAUCCCUCAACCUGCAAAUAAACAUCUAGUUCUUAUCUGAGGAACCAGCAUCCCUCAGCCAACAAACUGUGGAUUCUACAAUUCCCAAUCCACUCUUUACUGCAAACUUGAAUUAGUAAUCCACAAAGAAAAAAUACCAAGAAGGCAUCAGUUGCUGGAUCCAUCUCACGCAAAGACUAAACAAAUGAACAGGAGCUGAAGUACAGUCUGAUAACAAUAGGAAAGCACAAGCAACCGGUCAGAUUCUACCUUAGAGCCUGGAUGGCUAUUGUGGCGUCCGGCGCGGCAUCGAUGCGGAGGAGGAGAGGGGCGGCGCGGGGUCGACGCGGAGGAGAGAGGUGGUGCGGGGUUGACGCGAGGGGCGCGAGGGGUGGCGCGGCAUCGAUGCGGAGGAGGAGAGGGGCGGCGCGGCGGCUGUAGAUGGCGAGCGGCGGCGGCGGCUGCGGAUGGGGAGAGGCGGAGGCGAUUGGACACCGGACGCGGAGUCGGCGGCGACGAGCUAGCGCUGGAGCUCAUAGGGGUUGGCGCGCGGGGCCGACGGCGGUGGUUGGCGAGCGGUGGCUACAGCGAAUGGCGAGCGGCAGCGUCCGCUAGCAUGAGAACUGGACUAGCAUGAGAACUGGACGGACGGGAACUGAACGGACCACCCACGACGGGAAGACCCACGUUCGGGAAAAAAAAGUCAGAAAAAAAAUCGGGGGAAGCGGGAGAGGAAAAAUUGGUGGGAGGGAGGUGGGAGCUGGAUCCGCGGGUGAGCUCGAUUACGGAAUAUUAUUCCGUAUCUUAGAGUAUCAUAUAGUAUAGUCAUAUAUAUAUAUAUAUAUAUAUAUAUAUAUAUAUAUAUAUAUAUAUAUAUGAUAGUGCCAGUGCCACGAAUGCAUUACUAGCUAGCCAUCACCAACACACAUGUAUAUAUAUGCAUUAUUCAAAAGAAGUAGAAAUUUUUAAAUUUCAACUAGAAAUUAGAUAAUCUUGACUCUAAGUAUGCAUAUGUCAACUGCAUAACCUACCACCACUUGGGCAGUUGUCGUACCUAGAGAGCUGCCUGCGUCUCUGUAAUUUACCAAGAGUUAAAAUAAAUCGACUGUGGCACCUGCGGUGGCAAAGGAGCGUUUUCCUAAUUGGCAAAUCAGAGUAGCUUUUAUGCCAGGAUUGGAGGAGUGGAAUACAACAUGCACUGGCAAGGAUGGUCUGGGGUUGAGAUUGAAACUAUGCCUACCGAAAUGCCGUGAGUGGACAAUAAGCUAUAGCGACCAAGUUAUAUCUUCACUCAAGGAGGUACAAACCAGCAGCCAUCGCUGCAACUCUAAUCCAAGUACCACCAGCCUGGCUAUCAGCACGACAGUUUCAGGCUGUUUCACCACUUCCCUCCAGGAGUCACACAAGUUUGCCGGAGGGCAUACAACAACUCUCCUCCCUUCAGUCACACGAGUUGAAUUAUCGUGACAGCAUAUCAGCACUGUUGGAAUGGCUGAGCGACAUCUCCUCUCUUAAAAAGCUCGUCAUCAAGGGCUGUGAUAGCAUCAAGUCUUUGCCUGCAUGUAUACAACACCUCACCAACCUCCAGCAGCUAGUUAUUGAUUGGAACCAUGAACUACUACGUACAGCAGUGGUGCAAGUCAGAAGAGAAUAAGACCAAGCUCGCACACAUUAACUAACAUAUAUAGUAAGUUCACGACCAAAAAGCAUUUAUAUUUUUCUAAAUCCAGCAUUCAAGUUUGCUUGUAAAACUUAUGUACUUCCUGUAUGAUUUAAUUUCAGCAAGUCAAGUAUCUUAAAGGCUCUCUGUUUCCAUUCUCUUCAUACAGGACACUUUUUCUGUUGUUGGAAAAUAAUAAGGAGGAAGUCCAUUUUUGACCAUUGAACUGAGUUUGGUUUAACCAUCCAACUCCAAAAUCAGGAGAUUUUUAACCAUCGAGCUACUAAAACCAUUUACAUUUGGCCAUUCACAUUCACUGGUUUUGAAGGAUAGUUUCGCUGACGUGGUUUUGAAGGAUAGUUCGCUGACGUGGACAGCACGUGGAUGUAGAUCCCACAUGUCAGGUCAUUUUUCUCUCUCCUCUCUCCUUAUUCUUCUCUCUCCUAUCUCCAUGCCCGGCAGCGCUGGCCCGCAGCGGAGCUCCAGCUCGCUCGGCCGGCCGCGAUAGCCCAGCUCACUCGUCCGGUGGCGCUGGCCCACGGUGGAGCUCGAGCUCGCCCGGCCGGCCAUGGUGAAGUGCGCCCCGGCCCCUACUCCUCCUCUCCACCUUGUUUCACCACCGGCUGCAAGGAUACCUGGAGAAAAGGUAAAAAAGAGAGAGCAAACAAGCAGGGAUGAAUGAUAGCAGCAAGGAUACUUGAGUUUUGGACUAGAGAUGAGUGCUUAGUACCUUGCAAGUGGAAUGAGCGCCCAGCUAAGACGAAGACGUUGACUUGGGGAAGUCAUCAAAGAUUAUUUGCAGAGCAGUUGCUUUUUGAAAAGCAACUACUGUGUCUGUACCUUACUUAACUCUGACUCCACGCACGUUCUAGCUGCCAGACUAGGUGAUCAUGUCAAUGGAAACUGCUAACACUCAACCUAACUAGUUAGAGCGUUUUGGACUGACGAAGCUCUGCGACUUUAUGUCUCGUGGAUAUAGGAUCCCCUUCAAACGAGCAAGAACAAAAUUUGCUAUCUAAAUACGGUAUAUGCACACUGCAGGGAAAGCAAACAUACAAUUAAGAUGACAAGCUAAGAUUGUUACUAGUUGCAAUAUAUGCUACGCCUUAGUACGUAGUUAAUAAACCGGAUAACCCAUCCUACUGACUAGAACACAUGCAGUAAUUAAUUAUAUGUCUGCCAUCGUGCUUGGGUUAAUAAGCUUUGAAGAAAUGUUUUAUGAGUCCCUCCAUAAUCUGAUGUUGGAAUCUUGAUAAACUCGGAAUAAUCACCAAGUUGAUGACACAUCAAUAUAAAAGUAGCCUCCUACAUUUUUGUCGCAUCACAUUCAUCAGCAGUUUCAAUAAAUUGCAUUGUAUACGGCGGUACAUAAAAAACUUAUGAUUAUAUUGGGUGUAAACUAAUCCUAGGUCAAGGCAUCAAAUUCAGUUUUGUGCUAUAAGUUCUAACUAGUGGCAUUGUAUCACGUGAUUUGGCAUAGAAUUGCGAGGCCCACUGAUCGGGUGCCCUAUAGUGGCUCCGGUAUCCAAGACCAAGAAAAGUCUUGCACGUUGCCAAAAGUGCCAAGUGGGCAUGAAACUACCAUGCUAAGAUGCCCUUCGCUCAUUUGAAAUGUUAAACUGAUUUAUGUGUCUAGAACUGAUGCUUCACCACUUUCCAAGAUGCUUCACCAUUUGAAUGUUAAAUAUUGUAACAUGCAAGGUAUACGGAACCAGUUUAGCUAGCCUCAGCUGUACGUAAGUACUAAAACGCUUUGCCUCGGUGGUGUCAACUGCUGGCCUGAGCACAUGUGGAACCAUGUACGUGCUUCGGUUUUGUUUAAGUAUUACUAACAUCGAGAUCCAAUCUGCUUCGAUCAGUUAAUAGUUAUGCAAAUUGCUUCAGAGAUUGGUGAUAUGAACCAGUUUAUUUAACCUCAGAGUUCUGAACAGACAUAGGCUUUUAGGUUGGUGAUGACCUGCAUAUAUAGUAAUUAAAUCGCUAAGGUCAGUCAUCAUCUUGGUUGUUCCAACUGUUUUGCCUCGAGAUUCUACGGGCACACAUGGAACCAGCUAGCGUGCAUACAUGUGCUUCAGUUUUUUGUUCCCCACUAGCACAGAAAACAACUCUCCAUCUUGUCGAUUGAUGUGAAAUUGUGAGCUAUCAAAGAAAGCAGCGGCGCAGUUGGAAAGUGGUGAAGCAGCGGGUCACGUUGCGGGGCAGUUUACAUUGCACUCUCGAGUAUUUCGCAUUUACAGUUCAAGUUGUGACCAGCUGCUUGCGCUACACUGUGUUACUCUUGACAGUACUCCCUCCGUUACAUUACUGAAUGAAAGUUGAGAAUCGAAUCGACAACCACGACCCUUAGUUGCUAUGCACUCGAUCAGAUGGCAGACAAGAGCAGACAAGAGUAACAUGGAGAGCAGACAAGAGCACAUGGAUGCUGCAAACUUUGUGGUCAACUAAACUACUGAACCCUGCUGCACCUUGGCUUUGUUCACGCGCUCCAUUCUCACAAAGACACCAUUCGCGCAAGUCUCAGAGCUCUGCAGCCAUGGCGGAGAUCUUAGCUGGAUUGCUCACUUCCGCCGUUGUCAGCAUCGUGAAAGAUAAGCUGGCUGCCGCCAUCGCGGAGCAGGCCAAUUUGCUUUGGAACUUCGGCGACGGCCUGGAGGACAUGAACUCGGUGCUGGAGGCCAUCUCAGCGGCGCUCCAGGAUGCUGAGAGGCGGUCGGCCAAGGAGAAGUUGGUGCAGCUGUGGCUCAAGCGGCUCAAGCAUGCUGCCUUAGACAUUGCCGACAUGCUCGAAGACUACCAAGACAGUAGCAACCGGUUAACUGCAAAGGUCCGUGGUUAUACAUGCUCAAUUCCUUUGAAACCUAUCGCAUCUGUCCUGGGGAGAAUUAAUUCAUUAUCAAUUUGACACUUAUUUUCAACCGGAUGUCUAUAACUCUGGACUAGAAUAGAAUGUCUUCUCGAUCUCGAGCAUGUUCGAUAGAUCAGAUUUAGUGCAAAGGGGUUAGGUGCGGCCGUGUGACUCCAUAAGUUAAGUGCGCAUAAAUAAACUUUAGGCUAUAGCAAGUGUGUUACACUUGGAUACACCUAAAAUUUAAGGCAAGAAAUAUUGCACAAACUUACUUAUAUAAGUCAUUUGGAUUAUUGAGCUUCCUCCUAUAAUUGAUUUUGUGUCAAAGAAAUAUACCUUCUUCUUCAGCAAGGUUUAUUUUUCCCCUUUGUACUGCUCAGGGCCUACUCCUUGGGCCUGAUGAUGUUGUUGGAUAAUAGCUCAAUACCUACUGGGACAUGUAAGCUCGCCGUUCGGGCAUCAGCCAGACUGGUGCCCAGGCUGGAAUAAAAGGCCAUCCAUCUGGUACCGGCCUCGAUACCACCAGUAGUGGUUAAUAUCGGUCAUCUCAACUAACAUACAGACCUCUUAAAUUUGAAAUAUCUAGCCGAUUAGCCAGUUCCUACUUCAGUUUGUGGUUCAAUAUCCAUGUAAGUUCAUAUGAUCUGAAGCCUAUUUGCUUAGUGUAGAUUCCAACUGAGAAUAAAUGAAAUUCUUGCAGAAGCUAGGAGUGCUUUCAUGUCUACCAGUUGCACACAAGAAGAUUGUCGUGGCUACUAGAAUGAAGAGCAUGAGAGAAAAACUGAGGAAAAUCAACAAGGACUUUCGGGAUUUUAAAUUCUCAGAGGGUGGCAUUUGCACAUCUAUUGAGCAACAUGAUGACGAUCGUGAAACAUCAUCACGUUUGCCUGAAGAACCAAUAAUUGGAAGGAAUAGAGAAAAGCAGGAAAUCAUAAACCUCUUAUCCGCAGGUACCAACAAUGAUGAGACUGGGAUUGUUUCUAUCCAUGGCCUUGGAGGUAUGGGCAAGAGUACUUUGGCACAACUAAUUUACAAUGAUGCACAAUUCAAGAAGUAUGACCAUCGUAUAUGGGUUUAUGUGUCCCGGGAUUUCAGUCUAAAGAAAAUAGGAAGCUCUAUAAUUUCUCUAAUACCAAUAGAAGGAGGCCAGCAGAAUAGGGAUACACUGGAAGCCAUAAAUCUGUGCCUAGAUAACCUACUCCGUGGCAAGAAGGUUCUUAUUGUUUUAGAUGACUUAUGGGAGGAAAAGGACACUGAGUUGGGGAAACUAAGGAGUAUGCUUCAGGUGGGCAAGAAGGGCACUACCAUCGAUGUCAUAGUAACCACACGCAAGGAAGACAUUGCAAGGAAAGUUUCCACAUGUACACCAUACAAGCUGCAGCCUUUGAACGAUUAUACAUGCUGGGAAAUAAUUAAGAGAUAUAGCAGGUUUGAAGAUCAACAUUACCAAGAAAGAUUAGAGAAGAUAGGCUUGGACAUUGCAAAGAAAUGUGGAGGUGUGGCAUUAGCAGCUCAAGCACUUGGAUACAUGCUACAGUCCAAAGACCUGUCCGGAUGGACUGAAAUAAACGACAGUGAUACCUGGAAUGAAUCUUUUGAAGAUAAUGGUGUUGUGCUACCGUCCUUGAAGUUAAGUUACGAAAGGAUGCAACCACAGCUAAGGAUAUGCUUUUCUUAUUGUGCCAUAUUCCCAAAAGGCCAUAAUAUUGCUGAAGAUGAUUUGAUUCACCAAUGGAUUGCUCUUGGCUUUAUCAAGCCAUCGAAGGGGAAGGAAUACACCAGGCAACUUUUGGGCAUGUCCUUCCUUCAAGUUUCAAAGUUGCCCAAGGUAAUGUUGAAGUAUAUAUAACUACCAGAACACUAGUCUUGCCUGCUGAUUGAUCUGUUCGCAUAUUGGUUGUUUUUGCCUACUACUAGUCAUUACCACAACUCAAUUGCUGACAUUUGACUUGAACUUACUAAACCCAUGCAUUUAUCAUCCCCACCUAAGUUUGAUAAUAGUUUAGUGUCAUAUAACAUUGGUUUAGGCCAUGUAAUCAUCUUACUAGUCACUGCUUAGCUAUGCCUAAUGUUGAGUCAAUUGCAAUAAUAGCUCGGUGAAUCAGUUCUAUUACUUUUUCCAAUAAAUUUUAUUUGACUAGGAAAUUUAGAGGAUUUAUUAAUUUUUGUUGGUUUUAUAUCUUCGACUCAGCAUAUUAUAUUGUCAAGCAAGGACUAGUCAGAUAAUUUCAUGGCAUAAACCAUCAUUAGAUGGCAUUGGACCAUUGUCAAACUUAGCUGGGGUUGAUUUUCACCAAAUGAAACAUGAGAGAUGAAUGUCACACUUUUGCAAUACUUUAGGGAUUAAAAAUACACCUUUUACCCAAAAAAACACUUUCCUUUUUUAACAAAUUGGCAGGGGAGGGUCCCCUACCUGUUUUUUGGUAUAUAUAUAAAGAAAAAGUGCAUGUACAAGAAGUUACAAAGCUCACAGACUCAAAGAGAAAAAAGGGGGAGGAAUUAAAAGUUACAGAUUACUCAUCCAAUUAUCCAAGGAAAGCUUCACUGUCGUUUUCUUCUCUGAAAUCCAAUUUCCACUUAGCCAUAGACUGAACACCAUUAUCAAAGAUAUUACUGUUGCGAUGACACCAAAUGCACUAGCUAGCAAUGAUGAUAAUCUCCCUGAAAAUUGUUCUCCCAAAAUUAACUCGAGCCUGAAUGAUCAUAUCUAAAGGGGGCAGCAAAAGAUUUCACACAAUUUCCAUAAAUGCCCAGCACAUUUGACUGAAACAACAUUCAAAGAAUAAGUGCAUCAGAUUUUCUUCACAACCUGCAGAACAUAGAAACAUGUGCACUCAUCGAGAUGCAUGUUCUAAUAUCUUCUGAGGAGGCGAUCUCUUAGUAAGAGGCAAAAGCAAAAUUAUUUGGUAGCCUGUCCUUUCAGUUCUCAUUAGUUUUAAUAGUAAUAAAGUACUUCACCAGUCCCAUAACUCACAAAAUGUACAAUCAAGUCCCUAAACUUUGCUACGGUAUGAGACGAGUCAUGGGGUUGUGGACUUGUGGUGCUCUGCUUCAGCCUCCACCGCAGAGGACGGGAGCUGCUAGCUUGCCUAUUAAUUUCAUGUAGAAAGAACAACGAGAGAGAAGAGGUAGUUUUGCUUGCUUUGAUGUGGCGUUAAAGGUGCUGGAGGUGAGUAGGUAGAGCGAUGAUGGUCCAAGCUUGCAGGAAAUGGUAGAGUUGGGCUGGUGGUCGCCACAAAGGAGCUUGCCCUUUGUCAUUGCAAGCAUGUGCAUAGGAUGAGCGCCUCUUCCUUCCUCCACUACCCAUCUUGGAGAGGUAGUGGUCAAACUUGAUGGGUACCUCAGCAGUGUUGACACCAGCGGCAAGCUGGUGACCAGCUAUGUAAGAGCUCACCUCCCAACUAGUAACCGGUCGUCAUAGCCACACAUGGCACCGAGACUUGGAACUGGACGCGUGCAUGGUGACCAAAUGUGAGAGCAACCCAUACGAUAUUGGUAACAUACCGAGCAUGAGAUGGUCUGGAGGAGAAGGUGAUGAAAGGGAGGGAGGAUAGAGCGGGUGAGAGAGAGAGAGGAGAGAUGGGACCAAUACAUGGUCCCCACAUGUCAGGUCCUUGUCAUAGCAUAGUAUAAACAGCAUGUCACGCAGGUGGUUUAACUUAAGUUACACGAUUUGUGACUCAUGGUACAAUUAGCAAGUUUUUUUGGGGAUCUCAUUGUUCAUUUUGCUAGUUCGGGACUGGGAUGACAUAACGUUACAAUUUUGAGGACCGAUAGCAUGUCAUACUCUUUUAAUAAGUAUUAUUUCUUUGGUGAAGAUAUGAUCUACGACACAUAUUUACUAAUAAGUAAACUAGGUAUCCAUAGAGCUUAUACACAAGUAAACUUAGGAUUUAAAUUUUAUUACAAAAUGAAGAAAUUAUUAGUUGACAUUUUAAUGGAGUAUGGUUAACUUAUCAUUUCAGACUUCGGGAGAUCGUAUCGAGCGGUACACUAUGCACGACCUGGUGCAUGAUCUAGCAACAUUGAUCAUGGGUGAUGAGUUAAUUGUUUCUAAUGUUGCAUCGAAGAAUAAUAAAGCACAUAGCCAGAAAUAUUGUCGCUAUGCAUCGGUUACCAAAUAUGACCACACAACAAGGUUAUCCAAUGUUUUACCCUCAAAGGUGAGGGCACUUCAUUUCUCAGACAGUGGCAAGCUUGAUCUCUCUUGUGGGGCAUUUUGGUUUGCAAAGUGCUUGCGUAUUUUGGAUUUUAGUGGAUGCUCUGGUAUACUGUUGCCAGCCUCUAUUGGACAACUGAAGCAGCUGACGUACCUUAGUGCUCCACGAAUGCAAAAUGAAGUUCUCCCAGAGUUUAUGACUGAGCUAUCAAAACUGCAGUACCUGAACUUGAAUGGAUCUUCUCACAUUUCUGCACUACCAGAAUCAAUGGGCAAGCUCUGGUGUCUGAAAUAUCUGGGUUUGUCAGGUUGUUCUGGCAUAUCAAAACUGCCAGGAUCAUUUGGUGAUUUAAAAUGUAUGAUGCAUCUUGACAUGUCAGGUUGUUCUAGGAUAAGAGAACUGCCAAAUUCACUUGGUAAUCUCACAAAUUUGCAUCAUCUUGAUUUAUCUAAAUGUUCCGCUGUCAAGGAAAUACCUGAAUCUUUGUGUGGCCUCACUGAUCUCCAGUAUUUGAACUUAUCAUUUUGCCGUUAUAUCACACGGCUACCAGAAGCUACAGGCAGCCUGGUCAAUCUACAGUAUUUAAACAUGUCAUAUUGUGGUGUCAGGGGAUUUCCAGAGUCAUUUAAGAGGCUCUGUAAUUUAUUGCAUCUAGAUUUGAUUCAAUGCUAUAUUGAGAAAGGCUUAGUGGCAGCUCUGCAUGGCCUCACCGCAUUACAAUAUCUGGAUGUGUCACACGUGAGAUGCACGAAGAAUUUGGAGAAGAAAGAUCUACCUGUAACUAUGAGAAAUCUCACCAAUCUUAAGGUUUUGAAAUUGGAAUCAUUCCUAUCGUGGAACGGAUUUCAGGAUAUCAAUUUUAUUAGUACACUUACCAAUCUGGAGCAUCUGGACCUAUCGUGGAACCAAUUUGAGUAUCUACCAGAAAGUAUUGGUAAUCUCAAAAGGUUGCAUACACUAAAUCUCCAGAAUUGCAGGACGCUAAAGUCCCUCCCACAGAGUAUUGGUUGUGCAACUGGGCUAAAGUCUGUACUGUUGUACGGCUGCUCACACAAAUUGAUGGAUCAGGCCAGUUCUCUAUUGCACUAUUCACUAACAUUACCAAUCUUUAAGGUUCGUGCUGAUGACGUCAGUGCUCAUAGCAAUCUGCAUGUGCUCGAGGGUGAAAAUGCCGUCGGUGAGUUACAUAUAGUUUCCCUUGAAAACGUACGACUUCUAGAGGAAGCACGGAGACUUAACCUAUUGACCAAACAGAAUCUUUUGAGCUUGAAACUGGUAUGGACCUUGGAUGCUCAUCGACAUUUGGAUGACGAGGAUUUGGUGGGCCAACUAGUGCCACCAAUGAUCCUGAAGGACUUGUGUCUAAGCGGUUAUAGCAGUCCGAGCUUUCCUAGCUGGCUCAUGGGCAUUUCUCAUCAUCUCCCGAAUCUUACUUCUAUUAUAUUGAUUGAUCUGCCUACAUGUAGCAACCUACCACCAAUUGGACAGUUGCCGUACCUAGAGAGCCUGCGUCUCUCGCAUUUACCCAAGGUUUCAAAAAUUGACGGGGGUAUCUGCAGUGGCAAAGGAGCAUUCCCCCGAUUGGCAAAGUUCACAGUGACUCUUAUGGAUGGUUUGGAGGAGUGGAAUACAACAUGCCCUGGCGAAGAUGGUGUGGAGGAGUUCAUGUUCCCUAUGCUAGAUGUACUCGAGGUAUAUGAUUGUCCAAAGUUGAAGUUGAAACCAUGCCCACCCAAAUGUCGUGAGUUUAUAAUAUCAGGAAGCGACCAAGUUUUAUCUUCACUGGAGGAGGUACAAACCAGCAGCCAUUGCUGCAACUCUACUCCGACCACCACCAACCUGGCUAUCACGUUUAACUAUCACCACAGUUUCAGGCUGUUUCACCAUUUCCCGGCCCUCCAGAAGUUGGACUUCACCUUCUGUUCAAAUCUAACGAGCUUGCCGGAGGGCAUACAGCAACUCUCCUCCCUUCAGUCACUCGAGCUGAGAAAUUGUCACAGCAUAUCAGCACUGCCAGAAUGGCUGAGCGACACCUCCUCUCUUGAAAAGCUCGUCAUCAAGGACUGUGACAGCAUCAAGUCUUUGCCUGCAUGUAUACAGCACCUCACCAACCUCCAGCAGCUAGUUAUUAUUGGUCGGAAGAAGGAACUGCAGCAAUGGUUCGAGUCAGAAGAGAACAAGGCCAAAAUCGCACACAUUAACAUAGUAAGUUCAUGACCACCGCAUUUAUUUUUCUAAUAAAACUUAUGUACUUCCUGUUUGUGAUUUCCAUGAGAGUAUAAGCUAGAGCUAAUCAGUCGCACUUUUUUUCAACUUUGCAGAUCGAUUUAAGAUUAGCUUAACCAAGUACCAUAAAAAUGCCACCAGGGUAAAAGGCAGGUCAAAACCAUCUAGACUUGAAAAGUGUGAUGCCUGUAGAAGUGCAAAUGUUAUGUAUAUAGAAGUGCAGCUUCAGUUUUAACAUACUCGCCUUCACCUAUUCUCCUGCUGAAAUUGCUUUUGACCCCCAGCCUGUCAUGUGGCUGUGAGACAUUUCUGGGAAACAAGCUCAAAUCAUGUUGAAUCAAAUGAUCUUCAUUAGCAGCUAGUUAUUGAUCGGAACGAAAGAAACUGCAGCAGUGGUGCGAGUCAGAAGAGAACAAGGCCAAGCUCGAACACAUUAACAUAGUAAGUUCACGACCACCGCAUUUAUUUUUCUAAAUCCGGCAUUCAAGUUUUCUACUAAAACUUAUAUACUUCCAGUUUGUGAUUUCCAUGAGAUUAUAAGCUAGAACUAAUCAGUCGCACUUUUUUUCAACUUUGCAGAUGUAUCGUGAUUUGUGAGUAGCUUGACCGAGUGCCAUAAAAAAAUGCCAGCAGGGUAAAAGGCAGGUCACAACCAGCUAGACUUGAAAAGUGUAAUGCCUGUAGAAGUGCACUUCUUAUGUCUGUAGAAGUGCAGCCACCCUCUGUAGAAGUGCACUUCUUAUGUCUGUAGAAGUGCACUUCUUAUGUCUUUUUUCACUUCUUAUGUAUGUAGAAGUGCACUUCUUAUGUCUUUUUAACAUAUAUACUUGUCUUCGCCUUUGUUUAGUUCACCCCCAACUUCCAACUUUGGCACUAUGCAAAAAGAAGAUUCCCCAUCACAUCAAACUUGCGGUACAUGCAUGGAGUACUAAAUGUAGACGAAAUUAAAAACUAAUUGCACAAUUUUGUUGUACUUUGCAAGACGAAUCUUUUGAGCCUAAUUAGUCAAUGUUUUGACAAUAAUUCACAAAUACAAACAAAAUGCUAUGGUGUACUACAGUGCUGUAACAGUAAUUUGGCACCUCCAAACUUUGGCAACUAAACAAGGCCUUCACAUAUUCUGACGAGCAAUUUCAGGCUGUUUCACCACUUCCCGGCCCUCUAGGAGUUGGACUUGCCAGAGGGCAUACAGCAACUCUCCUCCCUUCAGUCACUCGAGUUGAAUUGUUGUGGCAGCAUAUCAGCACUGCCGGGCAUCAAGUCUAUGAUUCCUGCAUUGGCCAUCAAGGCUUUCAGCAUGGACAACAUUGGAACUCCAUCUGCUCCUGUCAGUGACUUGUGACUGUACAAAUAAACUCUGUUUAGUUCAAAUUCUGCAAUAGCUUUUGUCUUCUUCUAAACUUUCCUCCCCUCCUCUUUUCUGUAAUCUUUUUGUAUGUUUCUUGAAUGCUGAAUGCAUCAUAUAAUCACAAGUUCACAACAGAAAGUACAAUUAUCCAUUGACGCAGGACAGCUAAUUAGCCUUUUGCACAGUUGCCUGCUAUCACAUCCUGAAAUUUUUUAAUUUUCGGAUGUGAUUAAAAGGAAUAUAAACAAUAAUUUUUUCGUAAUUUUAAAAUUUUCCCAACAUUUAUUUUUCUUUACACGAAAUUUAGUAUAUGAAAAAUAAUUAUUUGUUUUUCUAAAUUAAAUAAGGUUGUUCUAUGUGUUGCAUUCAUGCCGAUGCAUCUUGGUGUUUCAUAAGUGCAAAAGUUUCAAAAACACGUUUAGACAUUGUCCAGACCCUUCUAAGAAUUUUCCAGCUUUUUUUCGAAUUUAUUCUUCUUCUCCUAGAGCUAAAUCCAAUUUUUGGAUGGUUCCAGAAUCCUUUUCAGGAGCUUCAAGUAUUUUAUUUGGACUCCUCAUGUCCUAAACUAUCUCUAGGAAUUUUCCUAAAAUUUUUGAGAUUUUCAGAGUAUUUUUCGUAGCUUAAUUGAUUUAUGUAGAUUUUUCUAGAUUUAUAUGUACACGGGAAAUGAUUCUGAAAAAAAACCUAUCCUAUCAGUUUGGGCUGAGCCCAUGGGCUCGACCCGUGCUGACCCGCUCAGGCCCAGCAGCCAGCCCGCCAAGGCCCAUCGGAGCCUAUGGCUGUGGUUCCCAGGCCAAGCCGGCCAUGGCCGCCACCGGCUCUUGGUGAGCGUGCCAUGCACGCUAGGGCGCACCCUGUGCGCCUAUAAAAAGCAUGCCCCAGCGCCGCGACUCCCUGCUGCCGAUUCCCAUCAUCGCCGCCUCACACCCGCACGCGUCGCCGCGGGGAGCUUCGCUGAGCUGAGCGCCGCCGCCAGUUUCCGCCGGCCAAUUCACCGCGUUCGUCGGUCGCCGGAGGGAGCUGGAACCACGGGGAGCACCGCUACAUCGAGACACAACCAGCCAGCCCAACCUCGUCUUCAAGGGACCGUUGGAGCACCGCCACCUCGUGAGGGCCCAAGCCGCCGCCAAGCUGUUUCGCCAUCCACCGCCGGCUGGAUUCCAGCUGCUGCCGUGCCUCUUCAUCGCCGGUGAGCACACCCCAAACAUCCCCUCGACCUCCUCCUCCAAUCCCCGUCAUCGACGAUUCCUUUUUUUUAAUUUUUUAAUACCAUUCAGUACUGGUUAUUCUACUCGGUACUAAAGGGGCCCCUUUAGUACCGAACUAACAUUACUAGUUGCACGAGCGGUACUAAAGGGGUUACUUACUAACCAGUGCUGAAGGUGUUUUCCCUAGUAGUGGCCGCUGCACCACUAAAAUUUGGAUGCUAUGCGUAGAUGAAAAUCCUUUUAGCCAAUAUCCAAAUAAGUCAGAAACAUUAGAAGGUGGUCGAAUAUUGAAGGGAAUGUAAAUGGUAUUCCAAAAGAACCGAGCCACAUGGCAAUAACAAAAGAAGUGAUGUAUUGUUUUAGAUGCAUUACAAAAACAACACUUAGUGCUUCCUUGCCAACUUCUUUAGGCCAAAUUAUCUUUAGUGAGGGUCACUCCUUUCUUGAAAUACCAUAGGAAAACUUUAAUCUUGAGAGGAACCUUUAAUUUUCAUAAAACACACUUCCUUGGUAAACUACCAGUUUGUAUCUGUCACACCCGAAGGAUUAAAUCGAGUGCAUUCCAUACAUGUGCGCCAGGAUCAAGUUACACACAUGUACGACAUAAGUGAGUAACAAAGAUAGUGCUAAAUCGAAUAAAAAGAGUAUUAAACAUUUAUUACAUGACCGAAAGUCUCAAAUAAGCACGAACUUAAGUAAAUACGCAGCAGAUUCCGAAGACGAUGAUGACACCACAUGCAGCUGACUGAAGAACCGUACGCCUAGAACUCCUCAAAGUCGUCAAUGUAUUCCACCAGAUUAUCUUUGUUUGAAUAGCGGUUUUGCAAGAGUGAGCACACUUAUGGUUGGUACUCAACAAGUCAUGGGGAAUAGUGUAGUGUAAGACCAAUCAAGGUAUGGCUAAGGCUAAAUCAGCAUCAGCUUUUAAUUAGGUUGGUCAAAUUUUAUUAGCAAUUAACUAGGUGUAAGUUUAUACCACCCAAAAUUAAACAUGAGCAUAAAUAAAGUAAAAAACAUAUGCAUGAAAUAACAACAAUUUAAGUCCGUCUUUCGAUAGUAUUAUCAUGUGAGGGUUCAGGCCGCUCUUAACCGUGAGCACGGCUAAUCGAUCAGUUUUACACUCUGCAGAGGUUGCACAUCUUUACCCACAAGUCACGUAAAAGUCCAACCAUGCGGUGUUUGCAAGGCACCAUACCACACUUCUAAGGUGUGAUUGCAUAGGGACGUUACGAGACCUUUACAAAGAUUCACUAAUAAGUGUUAACCCACUAAGAUUUCAGGUCGAAGCAGAGCAUAACAGUCCCCUAGUGGGUAUACUGUCUUAGCAAAGCCCACUACCCAAGAGAGCGAGUGUUAUACCCCAUCAAUGCCUCCCCUCUUGCCCUUUCAGUAAGAUUACCCCAAACUAGAGUUUCUAAUUAUUCAGCCAAGACCAGAGCCAUAUUUAGUCUUGUGGUAGCACUGUUUUCUUGGGUGGUCGCUCCAUGUUCCGAUUAAGUAUUUGUGAUCUUGUAUUAAUGAAAGGUAUAAUAAAAAUAAAGCAAGAUUAAUCAUUGACUUCAGUUAAACCACCAUAUCCUAAGUAAGCACUAAGCACGAGCCACCCAACAUAAAAGUAAAUCCGGUUGGUCAAGGCAAAGGUAAAUUAUAUCUAGACGAACCUUAAUUAGGACCCAUCAAUUUAAUCUUAACAUGUGCAUAGCAUAAUUGUUGAGUACGAGAAAGUAAAAGUGUAUAGGACUGAAAAAUAGUGAUCAAGGACACGACUUGCCUUCUUGGCCUUGCUCUUGCUGUUCGUACUCCUCGAAAGCUUGAUCUUCAAAUCCCUUGAACUGCUGAACGUCUACACGUGUUACACGACCACAUACAAGAAAAUAAAGGCAUAAGGUAAGAAAACAGUAAACCAAUCACAAUAAACAGAGAAUACAAGAUUGAAAGAUUAAUCUAUGCUUUAAAACGAACACUUGGAUAUAAAGAACGCGAAAAACAGAGUUAAGAUGCAAAAGAUAUGAUUAAAACAAGGUCCAGGGGCUUUUCUACGAGAAAAUAAAACUUCCAGGAGCUUAUUUGAAAGAAAAUGAGGGCUUAAACAUAAUUAUACAAAAAACCGAAGGGCGGACCCGUAAAAAUGGAAAUCUGGAUGGCAGGUUGAUUUUAGAGAAACUCAGGGGCUUAAGAGAAAGAAAACAGGACCAAAACGAAAUUACUUUUGAACUAGAUUGGACUGCGGGUUUGUUGGCGCUAGAAAUCGGCUGAUCGAAUUCCCAGCAUCGGACACACGACCCGGGAGAAUCUGCUUAGCUCCUGUUCGGGUGAUCGCCCUAGUACGGUUCACGCGGCGUGCCAGCCAAUCUGACCUGUUGAUUGGCAAGGAAAGAAACGUGUCAGAUCCCAGAGGUUGCGAUCGGCUAAUGUUCCGAUAUCGAGAUAGCUUAUCAGCGAAUCGGCCGAUUUGCCGUAAUAAGGAAAUCGGCUAUAAUGCAGCCGAUUACCGGGCAGCAUUAAUAAAGAAGACUGCUGGAGUAAUCUAAACAACGCUACAGUAAAAACACUAGGAAUAGAUCUAAAUCGGCUAUGCGUAAAAUAAUAGAUUGAAUAACGAAGCACAAGAAAGCCGAAAGCUCCAAUUCCUAGCCGGAUAACUAGUGAUAAAACUAGAACAAUAGGUAAAACCUAGAAUUCUAGUGAAUAUCGAUAACUGAUGAAUAAAUCUAAACGAAACAACAGCGAUACGCCCAAAGUUAAAGCUUAGAUAUUACUCGGUAAACGGAACUUACAGAAUCAGCCGGAGGUCAAGUUGAUGCAGCCCAGCCAACUCAUACGAACUCGUGAAAAAGAAGAAAAGUAUUGGCGAAGUCGCCUGCUCGAAAGUAAGUACGAGGAAAUAGUAGUUUGUUGUAUUGAUUUGAUGAUGAUUACAGAUCUACAAGGGUGGCUAUUUAUAGCCUUUUACAAACGACUCCUUAACCGACUAGAACUCUAUCUCUAAUUUUAAACGAAAAUGAAUAUUUACAAGUACGAUUCGUACUGAGUUGAUCAUCAUGCUUUCAUGGGCUGACUCCCUUUUUAUCUUCAUAAUCCACUUUAAGCCCAUACCGGCCCAAUUGCUCCAGCCUCCUAAUCGGCCGAUUUCUACCAACUUCAAUCGGCAAGGGACAGCCGAUUACGGCCCACAUGUCGGGGACUCCGACUACUCUGACCCUGGGACCUAAGGUCGGGUGAGG
RNAcentral lists this long non-coding RNA (77702 nucleotides) under Setaria viridis. RNAcentral describes it as "long non-coding RNA (SVIR_LNC009703)". Lineage: Eukaryota; Viridiplantae; Streptophyta; Magnoliopsida; Poales; Poaceae. The record is from RNAcentral.